AAUAUCUCUUAAAUGGGUGCAGUUUAAAAGAAAAAACAGUGUAACAAGAGGAGAAAUGAUGCAACAAGAGGAGAAACGGUGCAACAAGAGGAGAAACAAUGCAACUUUCAUUUAAAGAGUGUAAUUUUUAUCUUAGUGGGUGCAGUUUAUAUACUGAAAGAGUGCAAUAAGAAGAGAGAACAGUGUAAAUAUCUUUCAAGAGUGUAAUUUUAUUUAAAAAGUGUAAUUUUUUAUUUUAAGCUGCAGUUUACAUCUUAAGUCGUGCAACUUGUAAUUUUUUUUGUAGUUAACGAUACAAUUUCAUCUCAUCGUUUUUUAUAUAAUUUUUAUCUUUAUUUUUUUUUCUGUUUUUUUUUUUGUUACCCUCUCUGUCAAUAGCCACGGUGUCGGUGACGACGCCCUAAAGACCCCCACUCCAAGGCUGCAGCGCCGCAGUGAUCUCCACGUGUCGGCGUGGUGCGCGUGUCGCGAAGAUGCAUCGUCGUCGGAGGCAGCAGAGAAGGAGGGAGAAGGAGAGACGGGAAGGGCAGGGAAGAGCGAGAGAGGCGCCGUCGUCGGAAACUGUGGAGGAGAGUCAGAGAAGAAAAGAAAAGAAAAAUGCAAAAAAAAAAAAAGUCACAGCCCGACCUUAGGGGGAUCGCAGGCGAGGAAGGUGGGGGCGCCGGCGGCGACGCCGCUCUGUCUUCGCCGCUCUCUGGGAAGAGAGAAAAAAAAGAACGAGAGAAAAAAGAGAAAAGAAAAAGGUAUAAGGGCACCUCCGCUCCGUCUUCGCCGCUCUUUGGGAAGAAAAAGAAAAAAGAACGAGAGAAAAAAAGAGGAGAGAGAAAGAGGAAAGAGAAAAAGGUAUAAGGGUAUUUUGGUCAGUUUGCUGAAAAAGCGGACCGAAUCUGCAAAAGCCAAAAAGAUGGCCCGAUUUUGCAAAAGCCCAAAAUAAGUAGAUUUUUUAUGCAAAUUGGCCUAUUUUCAAUGACAAAAUUUUAAAUUGGUGAUCGACUGUGUUUGAAUUGAUUAAAAAUAUUAAAAAAUAAUUUUUUUGAUUUUUUGAUAUUAUUUACCUGGCAAUUGAAAGGAUUCAAAGUCAAAUACCGAAAAUAAAAAUAUCACAAAAAAUAGGCAGGAACUAAAAUUUUAAAUUAGAGACAAUGAUCUGGCUAUAGAUAAUAUAAAAUUUUUUCUAUUAAAACUUUAACCUAUUUGGAUAUUCUAUACUGUUAAACUUGCAAAUGACACAAAUCGGUCAGUAAAAGUUAUCAGUUUAGAACUAUUUCUAUCAUUGGAUAAAUAAUAUCAACUGUAAAAUUUAUUUUUUAAAUACUUCAAAUACAAUAGAUUAAGUCUAGUAGAGCCGAUCAUCUAUUCGAAAAUCUCAUCAUCAAAAAUGACUUAAGAGCACAAAAGCAUACGUGCUCCUGAGAGCACAUCAGCCCUAUAUAUGGGUAAAAUAAAUUGCUUGCCUUGGAUUUGAAUAUUUGUUGCAUAAAUCGAAAAUUUUAAGAUUUUAUGCUGCAUGGUAGCUGCAUACUUAGAAUAGAGAAUAAACAUGGGAGAGAAAUAUUGAGAAAUCAAAAACUUAUGGCACUUUUAUUAUUGGAAACAUCAAAAGGGAGAUAUAUAGAAGUAAUAUAUAGCAUUGCUCAUAUAUAAAGAGAGAAUUGCUUUUAUACACUUGGAAAUUUUUUGAUUUUCUUAUUUAUUUUUUUUACAAGGUUAAUAUUAAAAAUACUUUUUAAAGUUUCAAAUUUUUUCAAAAUAUGCCCUUAGAAUUAAAUUUUACCAGUGAACGGUUAAAUAUUCGUCAUAUCUAUAAAAUUACUAUUUUACCCAUUCAAAUAUAUCAUUCUACUGUCACCAAAUUUUCUUAUUUGUCCUUAAGUUAGGGAUAAAAAAAAUAAUUUGACUUUUUACCCUUUCAAAUAUAUCCUUCUACUAUGACCAAUUUUUUUUAUUUGUCCUUAGGUUAGAGACAAAAUAGGUAUUUUUACUAUUUUUUAAUUAUGGCAAAAAUUUAACUCAGGUUUAACUUGGACUUAACGGGCGCUAACAGCAAAGAUAUAUUUGAAUAAAGCAUAAAUAUACGAGGGGAAUAUUUGAAAUAAAAAAGUAGAAGAAAAUAAGAUAUUUCAGAAUUUUAAGGGGUAUAUAUGCAAUUAUAUCUAUAUUAAAAUAUUGAAAAAUCUAAAAAUUGUUACAAUUUUAACAUUGGAAAUAUAAGAGUAGAUAGAUUUUCCAAACAAAAUCAUAUGAUGGCAAAAAUACUAAAAAAUAAUUUACAGAAAUUUAAUGAAGGGACUUGCCAAGGGACUAUCAAACACAUUUCAAACCUAUACGGCACAUGAGCACUGCAGAAAACCGAAUUUUUCAUAAAUAAAAAUAAACGUCAACGAUCGUAGAAAACAAAUACGGUAAUAACAAAGCAAUUAUUUGAAUUAGAGAAUAUAAAAUUUACGUGGUUUGACUGACCAUGUGUCGAACUACGUCCUCAAUGUGUUAUGCGAUUAAUUCACGAUACAAAAGUACAAAAAAUAAAUAGGAUUAUAAGAAUCUCUCUUUCAAAAGGUCUCUAUGCUUAACUCUCAACUAGGAUAUCUACAAUUAAGUUCUAAAAUCAAAAAAAGAAUUACCAGUGUUUAUGUCCCUAAAACUCUAAUUCUAAUAGGGAACGAUCUCUGCUGCUCUUUCGAGCUUCCGAUUCACCUCUAGUGGGAUCUCCUCUUAAAAACCCUUUCUAAAGUAUUUCUAAACCAUCCCUCAUCUCAAAAUAUAUGAUUAAAUCAAGUGAGAGUCAGAUCCAACUUAUCCAGUCCACCACAGAGUUAAAUAUCAAUAUUUGAAUUAGAGUAUCGGUAUUGAAACACCCCUAACAUUUAACGUAUCAAUACCCCAAAUUUCAUACAAGUACUCAAUACAAAAUCUAAUUUUUACAGUUUCAAAUUUUAAGAAACUUCUUAGUGCCAGUACUUCAACUUUUAGUUCCCUUAUUUAACAUCAAGAAAUCCCAAUUCAUCGACUUUUCACCAUAAUAUUAAUUCGGAACACAACUUUACAUAAUUCAAUAUUUAUUUUAUAUCUUUUCUUCCAAACCUUCUGGGAGUCGGUUAAGGACGAUAUCUUUCGGGUUUUCAUUGAACUCCAAGAAGAUAAACUCUUCACUGGACCGACCGACUAUUCCUUCGUGUGCCUCAUCCCUAAAAUAGAAAGAGCACGUAAAACCAAAGACUUCCGCCCCAUUAGCCUCAUCAAUGGAAUCCAAAAAAUUAUUUCCAAAGUAUUGGCCAAUAGACUCGCACUUGCCCUGCCAUUUCUCAAGACCGACUAUUGGCCGAUUCGUUCGUCACUGCAAGUGAAUUAAUAAACCGGUGUUCAAAAACUGAGAGAGAAUGUGCAAGCAUCAAGGUAGACUUCGAGAAAGCAUUCGACAAUGUCAGAUGGUCUUUUCUAAAAAGCGUACUGCAUUGGCUAGGUUUUACUGAUAAAUGGUGGGGUUGGAUCGAACAAUGUAUCUGCAACCCUAAAGUGGCCGUUCUAGUGAACGGCACCCCGACUAACUGGAUGAAAGCUAGGAAGGGGCUAAGACAAGGCGACCCUCUCUCUCCCUACCUCUUCUUACUGGUAGCCGACAGUCUAGCCAGGUUAUCAGAGGCUGCGAGAGGAAACAACCUAUUACGCGGUAUCGGACCAUCGGACGAUUGCCAGACGGUGCUUAUUCAAUAUGCCGACAACACAAUCUUUUUCUGCGAGCCAAGAAAACGCUACAUGCAGAACUUGCAGUUCAUUUAGAAACUCUUCACAUGGGCUUCGGGUCUGAAAAUCAACUUGGACAAAUCGGAAUUCUACUAUAUUGGGUCUAACCCAUGCAAAGCUGAGAAACUAGCCAACAUCUUAGGCUGUAAAGUUGGAAAGCUACUUUUUCGCUACCUGGGGUUGCCGCUACACAAUAAGCAACUCCGCAAGGAGGACUGGGCCUUGGUUAUCAAUCGUAUAGAAGCGAGAAUAGAAGGAUGGAAAGCCAAAUUACUCUCCCUUGGGGGACGGCUUACGCUCGUCAACUCGGUUCUCUCUAACCUACCACUAUUCUACUUUUCAAUCUUCAAAGCACCACAGUGGGUAAUAUAUCGAAUUGAAGCCUUAAGACGAGCAUUCUUUUGGAAGGGUGCUCCAAAAUCGCUGGCGGUGCCUGUCUUGUCAACUGGAAAGCCACCUGUAAAAGCAAGAGAGAAGGCGGACUAGGCAUCAAAGACAUGGCAUCCAUGAAUACGGCUCUCUUGACCAAAUGGUGGUGGCGCUUCUUCAACGAACCAAACCUGCACUGGUGCAAACUGAUCAGAUCCCUCUACUACGUCAGAAGAAAGCAACUACAUGAGGGUAGAGCUUUCGCCCCUUACUCGCAGUGGUGGAAAGGAGUGGUACGAUGCCGCGAAAUUUUCAUCUGCGGUGUAACCUACGACCUAGGGGAUGGCCAGAACAUCAGGAUGUGGUGCGAUAUCUGGUUUGGAGAAACCCCCCUCCGGACCCUCUUUCCAGAUAUUUUCAUGGCUAUCACGAACAAGGAGGCCAUAAUAUCUCAGUGCUGGAACGCAAAUGGAUGGAGAUGGCGUUUCAUCUGCCGCGGCUUCCCGAUAGUCAAUUCUGCUGAACGACGCACACGGCUGACGACAUUAAAAAACUUGCUUCUACACCGCUCCCCUUGCAACAGACCAGACUCGUAUAAAUGGAGGUGGACAGCCAAUCAAACUUUCACAGUCAAAUCUCUCUACCAGUUCCUUACUUACGCGGGACAGCGAACCCCGUUGAACCGGCAUACUUGGCGUUUAAGAAUUCCGCUCAAAAUGAAAGUCUUCAUUUGGCUAUUACUUCGGAAGAGACUACUCACUUCUGAUAGACUGCUCCAGCGAGGCAUGCCCGUUGACUAACAAUGCCCUUUCUGCGCUAUAUCAACGGAGAGUUGCAACCACAUUUUCAGUAACUGUGUCUACGUCCGAUACCUAUUUCUUAGUGUGGAUGGACUGGAUAUACCAAGUGACACCCUUGGAGACGUUCGCAGUCUUUGGUCCAAUUUAGCUGCCUCUCCGCUCAAAUCGUCAAGAAUGCAAGGACUAACACUUCUAGCUGCGAUCUGGUGGGUGGUCUGGAGGGAUAGAAACAACUCCGUUUUUCAGACAAUUCCACCUGAUGCGACUCGCUCUCUCGAACGUGUUAAACUCCUUUUGACCAGCUGGACCAUGCUGAACUGAAGCGACACUUGUCUUAUCCCUCUUUCUCUAACCUUCCCCUCACACCUCCUUUUUCUUUUUUUUGGCCUUUUGUCUGUUAUUUUCUGUAUUUUCGAAGGCCUAAGCUGCUUCCAUCUCUGUACGCUUAGUUAAUUUUACUUAAUGAAUGAAGCUGGUAGCUUGCUACCUUAUUUCUCAAAAAAAAAUAAAUUACUAAGUACUAAAUCCACAACCUAAAAAGAUUACACGAUUAUAACCUUUAAUCUAAGGAUUGUAAUCCUUUCUCUUAAUUUUUUUUUAAAAGUUGGUAAUAAAAAAAUAGAUUGAUAGGACUAACUUACUCUUGGGUAAAGGAGUUGUAAAAUUCUAACCUAGAUAUCUUAUAAUAGGGUUGUAAUCAACUGUCUCUAGCAUAGUGACAAAGGACAUAAUAGUUAGCGUUCAAAAUUUCAAAAUUCAAAGUCUAAUUAUUUUGUGUUUUUAAUUAAAUUUAUUUUAAAAAAUAAAUAAUAACAAAAAAUUUGUGGACAUUACUACCCAUCCAAAUUAAAAUAUGCCUCCGCCCCUUCCAAGCAUAGAGCGAAAAAGAAAUAAAAUUCUACUUGGAAGAAAAUGUUUCUUGUACACCUAAUAAGGAAUGUGUAGAUCUUACAUCUGGAUUGAUAAAAAUCGAAUCAGUUUUUAGUAGAAAUAAAAAAAAAAAAAAUUUGACAUGACAAAUAAAGUAUUAAUAGUCUUUGGAAGAAGCAAGUGUAAAAUAUGCACCCUUAUUUUGAAAUGUAUCAGUAAUAUUGCUAAAAAAAAAAAUGUGACAAAUAACAAAUGAUAGUUCUUGAAGGGAAAAAAGGUGUAAAUACCGACCGUCCCUAGUGCAAGUGGCAAAGGGCUUGAUGGUUGGUAUUCGAGGUUCCAAGUUCGAAUUCUAAUUGAUUCACAUUUCCAGCUAAAUUUAUUUCUAAAUAAAAUAAAUAAAACGGGUAGCAUGCUACCUAUCUUUCUCAAAAAAAAAAAAAAGUAAAUUAUACAUCUUACUUUAAAGUGUACUAAUAAUAUUGAUAAAAAAAUAAUAAUGACCUAGUAAACUACACCUUACAAUAAACAGUUGAAUUUCCAACCACCUUGUGUGGUACUUUAAAUUGAUUACAUUAAUCUAUUGAGGUGUUUUGUAUCAUAUAUUUCAAUACAUUAAUAACAUUGCUGGUCCGGACUCCGGACUCCGGGUAGAGACACUCAACACUCAAAAUAUAAUUCUACAAAAUAUAUUUUUUGUUUCAUCAUAAUACGAUGUUCGAAUGUUCGAUGCGUUGGCGUAGAGAUCAGCUUUAUUAUGUAUGUUCUUCGGGAACAGCACACCCACCACAUCCUCCACCAUAUAAGCCAUCGCGGCCUCGCACUUUUCCCCUCAUCUCCCUCCCUCCUCUUUACCACCACUCUCACUCUCUCUUCAAAACAGAGUUGUAUUUAUUAUUAUUAUUAUUAUUAUUAUUAGUACUAUUAAUAUUAUUUUGGUUUUUGCGAAGUUAACAAUUCGGUGAAGAUCCGGUAGUUAAUCCAACGCUCCGUGCGCGCCGCGCUUCUGCAGGCCGACGAACCCCCUUUUCGUCGGCCGCGUGCUCAGAGACGACAAACGUUUCCCUCCGAAAAAAAAAAAUAAAAAAAAAAACAUAAGAAUAUCGACAAUUCAACAGCACUCAAAAUCCUCUAAUCCCUGUUUCUUGUCGUUACCUAACACUUGUUUUAUCCUGCAAGUGUAUAUAUAAAUAUGUAUUCACAUCCAAACUUUUUAUUACUCCUGAUCGGUAAACGUUCUCCACCGAUCGUUCUCUCUAAUAACUAAAGACCCAAAUAAAACCUUCGAUCACUCUGUUAUUAUUAUUAUUAUUAUUAUUAUUAUUAUUUUGAAUUUAAGCCAUGUGCCAUCCGAAGAAGGCCACGUCAUCACCAAACGAGCAACUGCUGACUGCGCCGAUUAUCGGCAAGCUGAAGCCGUCGCCCGCGGCGGCGGCUUUCGCGGAGGCGGGGGCCAUUCUGGGGCAGGCGGUUCCGAUGAUCCUGACGGGGCUGAUUUUGUAUCUGCGGUCGAUGAUCUCCAUGCUCUUCUUGGGCCGGCUGGGCGGGCUGGCCCUCGCGGGCGGGUCCCUGGCCAUCGGCUUCGCGAACAUCACCGGCUACUCCGUGCUCUCCGGGCUGGCCAUGGGCAUGGAGCCCAUCUGCGGGCAGGCCUUCGGCGCCGGCCGCCACUCGAUGCUGGGCCUCGCCAUGCAGCGCACCACUCUUCUCCUGCUCUGCUCCUGCCUCCCCGUCGCGGCGCUCUGGGCGUACAUGCGGCCGCUCCUCCUGCUGUGCGGGCAGGACGAGGCCAUCUCCGCCGCGGCCCAGACCUACAUUCUCUACUCCCUCCCGGACCUCGUCCUGCAGUCCUUCCUCCACCCGCUCCGCAUUUACCUCCGCGCGCAGUCCGUCAACCUGCCGCUCACCUUCUGCGCCGCCGCCGCCAUCGUCCUCCACUUCCCCGUCAACUACCUGCUCGUCUCCGUCCUCCGCCUCGGCAUCAGGGGCGUCGCGCUCGCCUCCGUCUGCGCCAACCUCAACCUCGUCCUGCUGCUCCUCGCCUACGUCCACCUCUCCGGCGUGCACAAGCGCACGGGGGGGUUCGCGCUCUCCGCGGAGAGCUUCAGAGGGUGGGGCCCGCUCCUCGCGCUGUCGCUGCCCAGCGCCGCGAGCGUCUGCCUGGAAUGGUGGUGGUACGAGAUCAUGAUCCUGCUCUGCGGCCUGCUCGCGGACCCGCAGGCCACGGUCGCGUCGAUGGGGAUCCUCAUCCAGACCACGUCGCUCAUCUACAUAUUCCCCUCGUCGCUCAGCUUCGGCGUGUCCACGCGCGUCGCCAACGAGCUCGGCGCCAACCGGCCCCACCGCGCGCGCCGCGCCGCCAACGUCGGGCUCGCGUGCGGCUUCGCGCUGGGCUUCGCGGCGCUGAGCUUCGCCGUGUCGGUGCGGCGCGUGUGGGCGCGCAUGUUCACGGCCGACGCGGCGAUACUGCAGCUCACCGCGUCGGCGCUGCCGAUUCUGGGGUUGUGCGAGCUCGGCAACUGCCCGCAGACCACCGGGUGCGGCGUCCUCCGCGGCAGCGCGCGGCCCAAGGUCGGCGCCAACGUCAACCUGGGGUCGUUCUACGCGGUGGGAAUGCCGGUCGCCGUGGGGCUCGCCUUCUGGGCGGGGCUCGACUUCCGGGGGCUGUGGCUCGGCCUGCUCUCGGCGCAGGCCGCCUGCGUCGUGCUCAUGCUCGCCGUCAUCAAAACCACCGACUGGGACGCGCAGGCCGACCGCGCGCAGGCGCUCACGGGGGCCGCCAGUGACAGCGGCGGCGCCGCAUUUCUGGGAAGCGAUGAGAAAGAGGCCCUGCUGCAGCCGAAGCCUGCCGCAGUCGGAGGCGACGAGAAAACUAGCUUGGUGAUUACCAUACAAACUGACCCAUCAAGUUAAAGCUUUCCCCCAAUUGAUUAACUAAAAUUUGAAUCACUUUUAGAGUUAAACCGGUGCCUUACAUACAAAAUCUUUUCAGAUACUGCUGAUGAGUCAGCACGAGAAAGCAUUACCCUUAUUUUUUUUGUGCAUUCUAAAUUCUCUAAUUUCUUUGGUACUCGUUUUUUACAUUUUUAUUGUUAUUUUUAUUUUUACAAAUUGUUGCACUUCCCUUGUAACAAGUUGUGGGUAAUUACAAUGAAAACGAGAAAGAGUUACCACGAGGUUCGUUUUACACACACACACAAAAAAAAAAAAAAAAAAAGUCUAAAUUGUCAUUUUAGUAAAGUGCUUACAUUGACCAGCUAGUUAGGGGGAAGAGGAGGAGAACGAGGGCAAUUUGUAUUACAUUACGACCGGAUUGGGUGCGUUUUGUGCUCUGUUCGUCUCUUCGGGGCGCUCGCCGUCUACAAAAGCCGGCAGCGUGAAGAAUCCGUCGCCGGCUUUCGAAGUCGUCCCCGGUCUUCCCACAGCGCCCCCCCCGUUUGAGACAAGUCGGCUUCAACGUAGUGGGUGGAGAUCUGCAAACGACCCCCUCCUUCAUUGGCUAUUUCGAAAUGGGUCCCUCAAUUUUACACACUUUUUUAGAUUCUCCCUAAUUUAUUCCUGUGGUAUUUAGAAAAGCACAUGUCAACAUUGAAAUUAAUAAUAUUAGACCGAUUAAUUGUUCCUAAUGCAAGUGCUAAAAAAUUUGAUGGAUGAUGUUUAAAGUUCUUAAAUUUAAAAUUUAGUUACUUCAUAUUUUCACAUAUAUUGAUUUUAAUUAAUAAUAUUAGGAUUUUGGUGGCAUUCGGACUGUAUGAGCUUAAAUUUUUAAAUAAUAAUAUAUUCAACGCUAUAGAAUAGGUUUUGUCAAAAACUAAGUUACGACAUCCGUGGUAUUUAUAUUCUAUCUCAUCCAAACACCUACUGGGAUUUGUAGUUUUAUAUAAUAAACACAAGUAUUGGGACUACACACAUCAAUCUCUAGAGUUGAGGUUUGCAACCUCUCUAGAUUAUAUUUUACAUAAUUCCAAAUUGUUUUUUUCUUUUUUCUUUUUCUUUUUUUUCUUUUUUGCAAUAUAUGGAGGCUGCAACUUGAUGAACUAAAUUCUUUCGAAAAGUGUAUCCAAACUCUCUAUAACUUGAAAAUCAAAAUUGUGUACAAAGAUUUCAUAGAGUUUCCAAACAACCAUUGCCUGUUUUUUUUUUUUUCAAUUCGAACCUCUUUCCCUUCUAAUUUUUUAAAUUUAAUAUAUUUUAACUAACUAAAUAAAAAAAUUAUUUAAUUUAAUAACUCUAUUCACUAUUAGAUGUUAAUUUUUGUAAUUUUAUUCGAUAAGAAAUUAUUAAAAUUGUUAGGCUAAAUUACAGAAAACUUUACUGCCAAUACCUAUUUUUUUACUUUUCUCCCCUAUCAUUUAAAAAUAUAUACUUUACUCUCUUGAAAAAUAAAAAAUGUUCACAGGGGAUACGAUGUUAACUGUCAUGAUAAAAUGAUCAAAUUGUCCCUCACCAUCUUCGUCUUUUUCCCAAUCUAGCUUAGCCAUCGUCUCUCCUCUUCCGUUCUUCACGCCUCACUCAACCUUAGCUCCGACUCCAUUUUCUCACUACAACAAAAAGAAUAUUUAGUGGCGACUUUUUGGUGGCGACAAGCACUGUCGCCACCAAUGUAUUUAAUAUGGUGGCGACAUUUAUUUGUCGCCGCCGAUUCAUAGGAAAUGGCGGCGACAUUUUUUCGUCGCCGCCGAUUCUUGGGAAAUGGCGGCGACAUUUAUUUGUCGCCGCCGAUUCUUAGGAAAUGGUGGCGACAUUUAUUUGUCGCCGCCGUUGCGUAGAAAGUGGUGGCGACAAAGUGUCGCCGCGAUAUAUCACUACAAGAAAAAGUAAAUUUGGCGGCGACUUUUUCGUGGCGACAACAGUUGUCGCCACGAAUGUAGAAAAUAUGGUGGCGACAUAUAAAUGUCGCCGCCAAUACACAAACAAUGGUGACGACAAAUAAAUGUCGCCGCCAAUACACAAACAAUGGUGGCGACAAAUAUACGUCGCCGCCAAUAUUUUAAUAAAUGUAGCGCGGAGCAUUUCCAGACAUCCCGCCCUUAAUUCCCUCCGCCUUUUUGGAUCAGAAAGUUAUCUUCUUUCAUCUCCCUCUCAAUUUCUCUCUUUCGCCUCCUCCUCUCCGCCCACCCUCUCUCUCUCUCUCUCUCUCUCUCCACCUCAUCCGCAUCCGCGCCGCCUCCUCCAGCCUCUCCCUCCACCUCCCUAGCCGCAGCGCCAUCAACUGCUUCAAGAGCGCACGCAUGAACCGCAUCAUGCGUGCGUAGAGACCCCCGUCCGCGGCGUGCUCUAGGGCCGGAACUCGGCCUCGCUCCGUCUCCGCCUCGGGGGUAGAAGCAACCGCUUCGCUCUGGAUGCUCCCGCCUCUUGCGGCAGCAGGAGGCGCCGCGACUACCUAAACCGCCUCAACUGCUGCCUCAGCUCCUACCGCGCCCACCUCCGCUCCUAAUCUCCGGAGGUAGCAGCGAGCUGGUACCGAUCUCUCGCUUUUGCUAACCUUUAAUCCCAAAAUCGUGCUACUUCUCCCUUUCUCUCCUACUACUCUCGCAUGCUUCUGUCUCUCUCUCUCUCUCUCUCUCUGUCUUCGUACGCUCUCAUCAUCCUCUCUUUUCUCCUCUUUCAUCUGCUAAAACUUAAUUCCAAUCGUUUUCGCUCUCAUAAGCCAUGGUCGAGACGGAUGCGGAUGGAGGCCUCUAAUCCUCGCUCCACCGUCGCAGCAUCUCUCGAUUCCGCAGUCUACGUCGCCAAUCCAUCAGCGCGCGGAGGACGACGGCACGUUUCUCACGCCUCGUAGGUUCGCUUCGCAAACGAGAUUGGGGCUCCGCACUCCGCGCUCGCUCCGCGGCUCAAGGCCGGGAUCUACGUGCCGCGCCUGCCCCAGAGACGCAGUGCGUACUACGCCAAGUAGCAGCGAGAACUUCAGUCAACUAACGGCGACGCCGGCGUGAUCCUCACCUCCUCUCCGCCUCCUCGCCGCGCCUACUCCACACUGCACCUGGUUCUCACAAGUCCCCGUCCCCCCCACCCAAAACUACUAACCUACAACGCAGACGCCUAAUUCUUUCCCCUCAACUUUUUUUUUGAUCAUUCUUUUGUUGCGUGCUUUUGUUUUUUAUUAGUACCUUCGCUACGUACGAAUAGCUGUGCGGAAGCAAGAGAUUUAUGGGGCUGAAGCUUCAGCGCAAGUGCGUUAGGUCGGCGGCCUCCAUACACGUCACUACACAGGUACCUGUUUGAUGAAAGUUCCUGGUGUUACAAGUUUUUUUUUCUUGGUUUCUUUAACUAAGAUAAAAUUAGUUGUUUUUUUUUUCAAAAAAAGUAAGUGCGGAAUUGAUGCUGAACAAUUGUGGGCUUUGUUUCGGACGCAACUUUAAUGCAUGUUUUUUGAAGUUUUAUUUUGCUUUGCGUAUCGUUGACAUUUUUAAUGCAGUUAGCAAUUCUCGUACAUUUACCCUGAAACACGCGAUUCAAAUCUCCGACCUCAUAAUUUGGAUGCGCAGGAUGCAUGGUUUGCGCCUUAAAAAUAAUGGUAAUAAAUUGUUGCAUUUGCUAAUCAAACUAUAAAGUCCGUGACAAAUUUUAUUUGUUUUAUUUUAGCUUACAAAUUUUAAAAUAUUACGAUAAAUUCUGUAACAUAUAUUAGUUGACUAAUAUUUAAUAUAUAAAUCAAUGCGCAGAAAUAAUGUAAUAGUUGACUAAUACUAUAUAGUGACGUUACAUUCCUUUACAUUACCUAAGGGGGGAAUCUAUGUCGAUUCGGUCACCGAAGGGGGCGCGCAAAUGAGGUUUAAGAGUUGUCCUUCGUAGGGAGUCUCGCGACGUUCUCAGGAGACACAGUGAAGCUUUUGCAUCUAUUCUUGCACUCAAGGUAUUUUUAGCAUGUAAUGUGAUUGUUAACUUCCAAUAAAUUAUGGUGAUUUCUUUGGAUAUGUACUGCUUUUUUUUUGGUUUAGUGUGAUUAAUCACCUCUUCUAAUAGUUGCUUUACCCUUAUAAAGUUGUUCAGAUAGCAUUUCAUUUUUUCUUUUCCUGUGUACUUGGACAUGGCAACUCUGUCAUAAAGUGACUUUUUUUACUAAUUUAGUUUUUUCUGUUACUGAGCCAUGUUGCAAUGUCAUACAUUGGUUCGAUGAUGUUCAAUUUCAACAUAAAAUUGCAGCUUUUGUGCCUUUCUUUCUUGCUCAUUAAUUGAAGAAGAUCUGCCAUUCAUUGUCUAUUGAUUAAUUAUUUUAACCAAUGUGCAGGUAGCUGAGUGGAGGUUUGCUAAGGUAAUUAACCUAACUACCUAGUAGCUUGAUGCUUUAAUGGUAGAGUUGAGUGUGAUUUCGGGUUCUUUGUACCCAGCUUAUGUCAGGAGAGUUCUAUCAGCUAUAGAAGCAGGAUUUUGAUGUGGUCUUUCAACCAUAAUCUAGGGGAAGAGUGAAAUUGGAACUUGGAAAAGGUAAUUAGUGAAUUGGUUGCCUUAUGUUGAUGUUACAAUAAGCUUAUUAAUGAAGGAAUGAAGCUGUUUUUGGUGUAUGCUGCAGCAGCUUGGAGAUUCACGUUGUGCUGAAUAUCUUGACUUUGUGAAUGGUUUGAAUGAAUUUCAAUCAGCAAGAAGCAGAGUUACAAGUAGGGAAUCUAAAUAAGUGAGAUUUUAACCUCAAUUAUGUGAUUACAUAAGUGUAAUAAUGCAGUUUUGGGUGCUUGUUCACAGCAGGAUGUACACACCUUAUAACUGUGAUUUGGGGCAACUUUUGAAGCUGGUUAAGGUGCUUUAACUCGUGGUGAAGGGGAAUUUAAGUUAAAUCCUAAAUUGGGUAUGAUUCUACCUAGAUUUAACGCUUAUGUGAGAUUCUUUUUGCAAGUUGACAUCAAGCAUCUAACUGCAUUUCCUAGCAUCCAUGGUGUUUUGCAAGUUAACGUCACUAUAAAGCUUAUAUCUUUAGUGCUAUCUAGCAUCCAUAAUUAAUGAUCCUAGUUCUUCAAUUUGAAUGUAUAAUUUAAAUCAGUGUUUUGCCUCUGCUUCAAGAGAAAACAGGUCCUGACAAUCCUAGUGGUGCAUUUCCUUGUUUGUUGUAAAUUUUUAUGUGAAAUGCAAUUAGGUUUGCAGCUAAAAGAUAGGUUUCUAAUGAUGCAGGGGAUUCAGCUAUCAUGGGCAUUGUAGAUAUUGAUAAUGACAAAGCCAAUCCUCAAAUGUGCAGCCUUUAUGCAUCGGAGAUAUAUACAAAUCUGUGUGCUACAGAGGUAUACAUGGUGUAUUUCUCUAGACAUCAUAGUAUCUGGGUACUAACUUCAUUGUCAUUAAUUUUCUAGGACAUUGGAGGAGGGUCUGCAGAAACUUUCAGCGAUAUCUUGGAUAUGCAAGGUAGCGUGGACUUCCCUGAAAUCUCAAAUGGCAUUUGUUAAGUGAUUUCUUUUUCAUUCAGGCAUUCUUUUAAAAAUUUCAAAGGCCUUUGCUUUAUUAUUCUAGAACAAAGUAGAAGAUCAACUGAUGAAGAUUCAGGAGCUUUGGAACAAGAAGUUACAGAGUAUGUCCUUGAUGAAAAUUCAGUUCAUUUAACUUGAUGUGUAUUAAAUGUUUGGAUUGGCUCAACUAAAUAACUAAACUCCCUUUUUAUGCGUCAUUGGCUGCAGGAAGUAGUGCCAUAAAUAUAAUCACUACAACAAAACUGCUUUUUAGUGGCUGAUUAUGUGAAAGUAAGUUAUCAAAAUUUUUUUAUUGAUUUCCAUAAGCUAUUCUAAACAUUUGUACUAUAAAAUAGUAAGCUGUUUUUGUACAUUUCUGAGAUAAGUGGCAGGCUAUUGAGGAGAACAUCUUGAAGAUGAGAUCUUCACGACUGCUUACUAUUAUCGUAGUAACUAAAAGUCUAUAAUUUGUCCUCCAUUAUCCAGUUACUGAUGUUCGCAUGCAGAAUCAUCUCACCUGAGAUAAGUAAUUUGUGCAUUCUAGGUUCACUUGAAAAAUAUUAUCUCUGUAGACUUCCUUUGCUGAAAAAUCUUUAUAUAUAAUAUGCUUAUUCACCAUACGAUAACUUUUAAAAGGAAUAAAAACUGAUUGCUAAGCCAACUACUGGCACUUAUUGAUAUCUGCUAAGCCAACUAUCGGUUGUUAGAAAAACUAUAUGAUUGGUAAGAGGUGGUUGGUAUUAGGUCAGGAUCAAUGUGGCGCCAUGUCUCUUAAUAAGUUCUACCAUGAGCCUAGGAAGUUAUAAAUAUCUGCUAUAUUAUGCAUAAGGUGUAGUUGAAAUAAUAUGUCUUCUUAUACGCAUGCACAGAAAGCUUUGUUAUUUGCUGAUUGAAUGCUCUGGUCUUUUAAAAAAAGCAUACGUCAAAAGCUAAGUAUUGAUAAUUUGAAAAGACUGAGAUUGUGUUUUGUUGCUGUCAGUUACUUAGGGUUCAUCUUCCUGGAGAUUUCAAGCUACCAAGUGGCAAUAUCUUAAGGAUUGAUGAUGCUAGGUAACAUCAUGCUAUUUGAUCUCUAGAAACUUGCUGAACUGGUAAACUAGUUUCUUUGAUAGUGGUCUUGCUUUCACACUCUUUUCUCAGUUACAGGUUAUACUUGGCAAAUAAAAACAGGUUAUACUUGGCACAUAAAGUAUAUAAUCCAAUUAAUAUUUAGACUAAAGAUGGAGCGAAACCAUCUCAGGCACACAUAUUCAUAGAAACUCAUAAGCCGCGUAAAGAUGGAAGGCCAAUUGACAAUGAGUCACUUCGAAAAGUUGUAAGUUUUUUUUUUAAUUAAUUAAAUUUCACCUAAAAAAAGUAACUCCUCUGUGUGAGAAGAUCUACUUCUUGUCUCACCUGCUGGCUCUUGUUUGUGCCCUUUAAAUUUGAGUUGAGAAUGAUAUGGUUAAUUUUGUAUUAUCUAUUCCUAGGUUAUCAGUAGGAUUCUUAUUUGUGAAAAAUAGGCCCUCCCACUUUCUUUCUUCUCUUAUAUUCUUUAUAUUUCUAUGCAAUGCUAUAUGGCCAUUGGCUUAAUCAAUUGGAGUCUCGGAGAAAAAUAAAAACACCUUGCUAAAUUUUGUCGAGCUUUUGCUAUUGCGGUAAGCAGAUUCAACUUCUAAGCUUGAUAAUCAAGUUCUACUUUUUGUCUCACCUGCUUAGUGAAAGAUUAUCAGUCACUUAUUAACUCCAUUGCAGGAGAUCAACCAUGCAAGAGCUGGCGGAUUACGGGUAGAGCUUGUAAGUAAUAGAGGUAAGUAAGGUUCAUUAAAUAUAUGAUGCUCUAAUUGAUUUAUCUUAAAACUAAAUCCUUUAACUGAUAUUAGUAGCUUUAUUUUGAACAUCUUUAUGUUCGUGAAUAAAUAACCAAUGAUCAGUGACAAGCGACUUUGUAUUUUUAUCGUUCUUGUCGUUUUAUUCCAGAUUGGAUGCACUUAUCAACCAACUGCUGAUUAUGUAUAUAUUUGACCUCUUCUAAAAAACUCUCGAUUUAUCUUGUAGGUUUGAAGCUGGAGAUCCGAAUACUCCAUCAAACAUUGAAACUGUGAUUUAUCGUAAAUCAUAGAUGUUUAACGUCAUUAGAAUUUAUUAUUUUUUGGCUGGAAUUCAAACAAGCAUUUUGUAGUUGAAACUCAUGUAUGAAAUUUAUUUUUAAUAUUGAAACUGUGAUGUAUUCAAUCAAGUUUAAGAAUUUAACAUAUUUUGAAAACUUUACAUUUGAUAGCAUGUGGAAAUGACAAAAACACUAUUAUUGUAUUUUGUUUUUUGGUUGUAUUGGGUGUAUUAGGUGACAAUGCAAUGAUACUUUGACAUUUAAAGUUUGAUUCGGUCUUUCUUAUUUGCCUUAUAAGAUUAUUUUUGUUCUUCUUUACAUUUAAAGUUUGAUUCAGUCUUAUUUAUGUGGAUUAAUUUUAUGAUUAAAUACUUAUAGAGAUUCAAUUAGAUUUAAUAUAUAUUGGUUCUAAGGUGUUUGAGCCAUAGUGUUUAGGUUUAAUUUUGUUUUGAGAGGAUUAAAUUUAAAUUAAAGGUUAAAAUUUAAUAACGAGAAAUUUUUAUAAUUAUAGGUUAUUUUUAUGCAAUUUAUAUUAAAUCAAUAAUAUCUAUUACUACCAAUUAUUUUUUUAAAAAAAUUUUCGAUCAGAAAAAUAGUGGCGACAAUAGUCGCCACCUUAUAACUAGCCCGAUUAGCUAAUUAUCUAAUUUUUAGUGGCGACAAAUUGUCGCCACCAAAUAUUUCGCGGCGACAUCAUGUCACCAUUAAUUCUCUAAUUUUUCGCGGCGACAGUUUGUCGCCGCUAAUUAUCUAACUUUUAGCGGCGACACAUUGUCGCCACCAAAUAGUUUUACCGACGGGAUUUUAGGCGGCGGGAUGCGGCGACGAAUUGUCGCCGCCAAAACACUUUUCGUGGCGACAAUUUUGGCUAUGGUGGCGACAUUUGUCGCCACUAAAUCUCGUACCUGUUGUAGUGUCUCUACGUGCUCCCCCACUCCUCUUGUACCCUCGUCGUCCUUCCAUUUCAGCGACGGUAGGGAAAAGAUUGGGGUGGGCAUGGACGCAGAGGUGAGCAAGGGCGAGGGCGAGACGGCGAAGGAACGUGAGAGCAUGUGUGUGGGCGCGGAUGGAGAGAUGGACGAGGACGAGACAGCGGAGAAGGGCGAGAUGGCAGAGUAGGAUGAGGCAACGUAGGCCGCGAGGAAGAAGGCAGGGGAGGAGGCUGAGGGUAUUUUUGGUAUCGUUUGGUUCGGGUAUAAGUAAGAAUUGACUAAUCUAGGGUUAAAUACAAAUUCAGGUAUAAGCAAGAACUAGACCAAUUUUGUGUUUGGAUAAAAAUUGGUUGUUCUCGGGACUAAGAAAAAUAACGUUUGGUUAGAUAAAAUGUAAAAGAAGAAUAAUGGGUAGUUAUAAAUAGAAAAAUAAUAUUAUCCCUCUCGUUAUAUUUGAAUUUGAAUUUUUAAAUUUUUUAUUUUUAUUUUUAAAUUUAAAAUUUUAACUUUUAAAUUUUAAAAUUUGAAAUUAAACUCUAAACUUUUAAAUUUCAAAUUUUUAAAUUUAAAUUUUAACUUUUAAAUUUUAAAUUUUAAAAUUUAAAUCAAAUUUUAAUUUAAAAAAUAUAAAAUAUUAAAUUAAAAUUUAAAAUUAUAAACUUUAAUUUUGAAAUUACAAAUUAUAAAUUUUUAAAAUUUUCUUUAAAAAAAAGGGUGGAAAUAGCUUGUUCCCACCCAACCUUAGGGUGGGAAUAAGCUAUUCGAGGUAGGGUGGGAGGGUGGGAACAAGCUAUUCCCACCCUUAGGUAUAGUGUUUGGGGAACAAGGUGGGAAUAAUCCCUUAUCCCCACCCUUGUUCCCCAACCAAACAGGCUUUUGGAUAUAAAAAAUAUAUAAUAAUAGAAGUUUCAAAAGGGCAAAGUAUAGGUUUUUAAAUAAAAGAAAGAAAUGAAAAAGCGGGUAUUGAUAAAAAAGUUUUCUGUAACUUGACCAAAUUGUUAAUUAAAGUGUUUGUAAUAAUUUUUUUUUUUUUGAGAGAUAGGUAGCACGCUACCCGCUUCGUUUAUUUUAUUUAGAAAUAAACUUAGCUGGAAAUAUGAAUCAACUAGGAUUCGAACUUAGGUCUUGGGUACCAACCACCAAGCCCUUUGCCACUUGCUCUGGAGAUAGUCGGUAAAGUGUUUGUAAUUUUAGUCAACUUUAUUAUAAUUGAUUAAGACUACUCAUCUUCGAGAUUCAAAAAAUUAGAAAACGUGCCAGCCAAUUAAGAAAGAGCACUAGAACAUGGUAAACUUUAAUUCUUCCCAUGUGUUUAGCUUAUUUUUACUUUGUCACGCUAACUAUUUCGUAGUUUAACAUUUUUUUAUUUUUUCAUCGUGUGAUUCAAAAUGUUACACUUAAUUAUUCCAUGAUUGCUAAAAAUUUUUACUUAUCCUAUUUGAUAGAAGAUACUUUCAGUAAAAAUAGAGAUAAAAUUAUAGAUAGUUUAAGUAUAACUUUUCGAACCACAUAAUGACAAAAUAAAAAAUAAGCUAAACCACACAAAGGGCAAAUUGAAGCCACCCUUAAGAAAAUACAAAGUUGGGGGUUGAUUUCAAAACAUUCUAAAGACGAGGGAUCCUUAUACAAUUUUUACCGUCUCGUUUCGGUACUUUUAGUAGCAUUUUUCUCUAAGAUAAGACGAGAAAGUAUAAAUCUCACACGUGUUUUCCAGAUGUACAAGUAGCAUUUUCUCUUCUAUUAACCCAAGCGGCCCGCUGAACGUGGCGGGGCCCAAUAAUUUGAAGCGCAUUCGUAGCCGUUGGAUGUGCCGUUUUGGCUCGUUGGGCUCGUCAACGAGCCCGCCUUAUUUUGGUCGCGUCCCCACGAUUUGAAGAUUCAAACUUGCUUGCUUACCAACUAGCAAACAGUGAAUCAGUGAUCACAUCCCCUCCUCCCAGUUUCAUAGGUGGAGGCAAAGCGCGCCAAGUAAACGAGAGGACACGAUCUCAGCCUAAUUAAGUGUCUGUUUGGUUCCGCUUUUUAUUUAGCAUUGAAAUUUUCUGCUGCUGCAUUGCUUCAGUAAAAGGGAGAAUGCUUUGAAUUCAAAGCUAUUAUGGAACGUUAUUUUGUCUUGUGACGGAGAGGACAGCUAGUGCUGCAAGGAACCCUAUCCCUAAUAGCCUUCACCUAUGAAAAAAUUAGUUCAAAUAGACUAGAAGUUCAUUUUAACACGUGUUAUUAUUUUCCGUAUUAAAAAGGAAAAUUUUUUCUUAUAUGUUCGAUUACUUAAGUAGAAAUCAGAGUUGAUUACAUACUCCUAUAUUGUAGUAUCAAAAUCAAGAGAUAUAUUCUAUGAGAAAAGAGAUUGCAUAGAUAUUUUUGGAAAAAAUUAAUCUUAAACUUAUCAUUUAUCACAUGCGGCGAUUAAAUUGAUCUUAAAGCAAUAGCGACGUAAAAUUAUUGUUUCAUUGUGAGGGCACCACUAAAGUAUGAUGUGCUGUUGUAGGUUAAGCGCGCAAGAUAAAUACUACUUGUACACACACUAAAAUUUAUAUCUAUUUUUGGUUAUACCACUAGUGUAGCACCGCGCACAAAUAUCAACUUUGCGGAGGCAUCUCUAUAAUUUUGUAUAUUUGCAAGGGUAUAAAUGUGAAAAGGUACAAACUCUCAAAAGAAGACAAAAAUGUCGGCAUGUUGGGGACUAAGCACGCAUAGGCCCAGGUGGAUUCACCUGUCAAUUGCCUCAUUAAAUAUCUAAGUCCGUGCUGAAUCUGCUGAUUCCACGGGACCAAAUUGCAAAUUGAUAAGAGUCAGAGCACAAACAUGUGAAACAAAAAAACAAUCCUUGAGCACCCCUGCAUGUCGCCCCAAAAAUAGAGGGUGUACAGCUUACACCAUCUUAUCCAAGGAUUAAUAAUUAGUCCUCAUUUUAUUCUUUUUAAUAAUAUAAAUUUAAAAAAUUCUUUAAAUUUUAAGAUAAGGGAAUACAUAUCAUAUGUCUUUUUUUCAAAGCGUGUUAGUAGUAUACAUCGCAUCUGCAUUCGUUUUUGGGUGGUUGGAGUGCACCCUCCCCUUGGGGAAAGUCACGAGGUGUAAUAAAUUUUGAGAAAAAGGGGUUGUAUGUGGUGACAGCAAUGGGCUCAGUACGGAUCAAAUCAAAUUUUAAAGAAAUCCAUUAAGGGAACAAACGGGUCGUUUCAGUUUUCUUUCUUUCAGCCCCAGAGGUGUGAUCAUGCGUUGUAUUCUCUACAAUAUUGAAUAUUGUAUUUUCCUUUUCACAUAGUAAAAUUUUCUUCCCCUUCGCCGGUGAUUUUUCCGGCAAAAACUUUUUUUCACGUAAAUUUUAAUGUUCUAUCUUUUUUUACUCCUUUGUGUAUUGUUUAUACUUUAUAUUAUGAUCGUCAUUUUCGUUUCUAUUUCUGCACUCAUCGUAACAAAUUCCUAUGUGUCCAAGGGCUUUCUGUUAAAUACAAAAUAGGAUAAAAAUACGUGAAAUUUAUCUGAGUUAUGAAGUUAUUCUAGUCAAACUAUCUAAUCUUUUAAAUUUUUAAUUUUACUAUUUAAUUUUUCAGUUACUUUCAGCCACUUGAUGAUUCCUCUAUUGUGAAACUUAGCCGUUUUGUUUUUUUUUUUAUAAUAAAAAACAAUCAUUUGAAUUAUAUGAAAUAUUCUUAUCACGCUGGAUAUUCUAAACGGCGCGUUCUAAUUUUAAAGUGGAUGAAUCAUCAAAGGCUCAAAUCAAACAUAUCAAAAGGUUGGAUAAUAAAACUAAAAUUUUAAAGAUGAGGAAUUUUUCAAUAAACCAUAAUUAUUGAAAUCUAAUUGUCAAUUACCGAAGAAUAUGAUUAGAUUUUACAUGAAAUAACCUGUUGGGCAUGCUAUCGAAUUGGAUUGGUCAAUAAGACAACAUUGAAAAAAAGUUCGUAGCAUAUGCCAAAUUUUUAGUGCCCUAUAAAUUUUAAAGUCUUUAUUUAAUUUUGUUAUUUACCAAAUUAUUAAUGCCUAAUCUGUUAAAUAUCCAACUCAAAAAAAAUAUAUUGAAUCUAAACUUGAGUCUUGAAUUUGGUAUAGUAAUGCAACAUUUUUAUUUUGAAAUUUAAAUUCAAUUUUAAAAUUGAAAUUUUAAAUCUGAACUAAAAGGUUUUUUUUUUAAUAUGUAUUUUCUAUUAAGAAAACUUGAAUUUGAUUCAGAAUUAAGCUUUGUAUAUUGUUUCCAAAUUAAAUUUCCAGUUUGGAUGUAAAUUGAGUUCCAAUUAUUGCUAUAGGUAUUUAAAAAGUUCAUAAUACCCUUUGUGGGAUAAGAUCAAUUAUAAGGAGUAUGUCUAAUUUACUUUCGAAAGUACGGAGUUCGUCAUAUUUGUAAGUUGUUUUCGAUGAUAGAAUGUUUGAUUCGGCGAUCGGCUCCGUUAGGUAUAAUUUACACUGUUGGAACUAUCUAAAAAUCAAAUUUCAAAAUUUUUCAACAUCAUUUACCAAGUGAUCAAAAAGUCUCCAAAAUAACUAUUUUAACGGUUAAUGUGGCACAUUUUAAAGUUAACGGUGUAGAACAAUCCAAAUUACAUAAAAAUUUAACAAAAAAAUUCUACUUAACAUCAAUAGCAAGAUCAAUGUUUCUGAUUUGAAAUUUGAGUCUUUUAUCACUAUUUUUUAUGAGAUUUUUUAUUUUCAACCGUUCAUUUUGAGGUUACUUAUUUAUUAGACAAAUAAAGUCAAAAAAUUAUAAAAUUUGAUUUAUAGAUAGUUCCAAUAACGUAAAUCAUGUCUAACAGAACCAAUUACCGAAUCAAAUGUUCUAUCAUCGAAAAUAACUUACAAAUACGAAAACCUGCAUACUUUCGACAAUAUUGGAGCCUAGCUCUAAUUAUGAGUAUUAAGGACCAAAACACCCUACAAAUGCCAUAAAACUUUUUAAAUGGGUAAUUAGCGACCGGUACCUAUACCUCAAUUGCAUAAUCAAAUUAUAUCUCAACUAUUUAUUUAGAAAAAUAAGCGGCGAGAAUUACAUAUAACUUAUGAAUUGGGAACCUAAGCGUUUCUGGGCUGUCACGUGGCGGGCAUGGGCGCGACCCGCGUGAGGGGAGCUGGCGGGGCUCACGGAUGUCCCUGCACGCGGUCCACGGGGCAGGCGGCUCAUGGUGGACCGGCUGAGGGAGGGGGGUAGUGGACCCCGCUUGAUGGAGAGGGGGCCACUCCUUUCUCUGUCACUUUUUUGAACUUUUAAAAAAACUUAAUUAUAGUGUUUUUUAUAAAAAUAAAUUAUAUAUAUCUAAAUAAUUAUAAAAUUAAAAUUAAUAUUUAAUACAUACAAUCUAAAAUAUUUAAAAAUUAGGUAUAAAUAAUUAUAUAUUCUAAAGUUUUAUUAUAAUUAAUAUACAAACUUAUGAAUUUACAAUUUGACCCCAACCGGACUGAUUUUAUCCAAUUCAAUCAAUUUUUUUAUUAUAAAAAUUUAAAUUAUAUAAUUAUAUAUUUUAAAGUUUUCGCGCUAUUUUUUCUUUAAGCAGUUUAGACUUGAAUAAAAUGUUAAAUUGAUUCUAUACAGAUGCAGAAUUUUUAUGUCCUUACAAUUUUUUAAAAUUUUAUUAAAUUAUUUAUAAUAAGAUUUUAUUAUAUAAAGUUAAAAAAAUAUCUGGCACAUCUCGCGGGCUUCCUUAACUAGUUUGUAUGAUACUUUAAAGCAUGGCUGUGUAAAGAUUAGAUAUUAGUAUAUAUUAAAAUAGGCAAUAGUUCAAUUAAGUUUUAAUAUUUGUUUUUAUGAAAACUUAAGAAUGUAUAAAAAAUAGAGUGUUGAAUAUAAAAUAGAAUGUCUUUUUUUUAAAAAAAGAAAUAGAUAGUAUAUUAUUCGCUUUAUUUAUUUUUUAAAAAAAUAAAUUUAUGUGUCACCGUUCUUUCUGAAAGGUUGCUUCUGGCGAUAUAUAGUGUAACACCCCAAUAAUCCCACAUCGGAUUAAAAAUUGAUUCUCUAAUUAGAAUAUGUGAGACAUACAUGCUAGUAAUAAUAACUGGGGUUAAGCAUUUUGAGCCGGUGAUUUGGAUUCGACGAGUUAUUGUUGCUGGCGGGUCGGGUCGUUAGAAUUGGUAUUAGAGCCGAAUACCGGCCGAAAGUGUGAGAGCUAAGUGCUAUGCGUACAAAAUGCUACACCAACUGAUUUGGUGCAAGCCACCUCUUGAACCCGUAUACGCACCCCAAUAGUUCCACAUCGGAUGGAAUACUGAUUCCGAUACGUUAGUAAUAAUAACUGGGUUUAAACAUUUUGGACCGGUGAUUUGGACCCAACGAGUUAUUGUUGCUUGCAGAUUGGAAUACUGAUUCCGAUACGUGAAUAAUGAUAACUGGGCUUAAAUAUUUUAAGCCGAUAAUUUGGGCCCAAUGAGCUAUUAUUGCUGGCGGGUUGGGUCGGAUCGUUGCAUAUAGAUCAUAUUUUUCGCACAUCUCUCGGGAAUGUUUUUACAUGUUGCAUCUUCUUUCAAAGUGCUUCUUCCGCGAGUCAACCUUUACUCUGAUUGGUUGGUUGUCACCUUUUUCUGGUCAACUAAUUGACAAUUUAACUCUUUUAUAUUUCUUUUUCUUUUUUCUUUUUUAAAGUUUUUUCUACCAGAAACGACUCGCUGCAUCUUUACGUUCUUAUAUUCUAUUGGCUUUAUUUUGACAUUGAUUCAAAAGAACAAAAAGAAAUCGUUUAGAAUAUAUUUAUAUAAGUUUCUUUAAUUUAAAACCUUUUCUUUUUUUUACUAAUUCUUAUUGUAGGGAGUCAUGAUCUCCUCGUAAUCAGAUCCGAGUCCUAAGUAAGUGGAAAUGAUAUCUUAUUUUAUUAUUUUAAUUAAUGAUAUCUUAUUUUAUUAUUUUAAUUACCUCUAGCUGAAUCAUAGGAUUGGUUUCUUAUACAAUGAUAAAAGAGCUAGACCAAAAUAAUAAUAAUAAUAGUAAAAUGCACCACGAUAUUUUUUAUUGUGGUGCUGAUAUAAGAGCACAAGAAAAGAUAUUGCUGCAAAGUUUAGAAAAUUGUAGAUUUGUCACGCGAAGGUUUUAAUUCUCAAACUUAUUUCGCUAAAUUUCCAAAAUGUUGUGCAAUUUUUCGCUGAUUUAAUUUUCACCGUUACGACCAUUGUGUCCUUAAAAUGAAUGUCCCUUGUAGAUUCUUUUGACAAUUUAGGAUUCAAGUAAAUAUAAUGAGAAAUAUAAUAUAUCAAAAAAAAAAGUUUAAUUUUAAAUAGGCAACCGAGACAAAUACGAAUAAACCUAGACAGCUUGUUUGGUUCAGUUAUAGAGUAACAUAUAUAUUGUUCGUUGAGGUGUUUUUUAAAUAGUGUUAUUUGAAGAAACAUUACAUUAAUAUUUUUUUAGGAGACUAUUAUUGCAGUAAAAUUAAAAAUUCUAAAUUAAAGCUUGUAAUUCCACAUCUCAAAAUUUAAUUUUCUCUUUUGCCGUAGCAAGAAAUCUCAAGUCUUUUUAAUAUAUCAAGAGUUAAAAGUAGGGUUAAACACGGCAUGGACGGCGAUUUCACUUAGUGUCUACCCCAGACAUUUUAAAAUGCUUAAAUUUUUAAAUUAACUGGAGGAAAUUAAAAGAGACUAUACGCUCGCGUAAGGAUUCGAACCUAAAACCUCCUACUUUGAUAUUAUACUGAAGAAAAAGAAAAAAAAAAAAAGUGAAACAAUGAUUUUUUCUCGAAAAUUAGACUUAAGCUGCCAAAGAAAUUUGUUUUAACAUUAUAUAUAUUGAGCUUGAUCUCUCUCAUGACCAAGCUCGAAACAUUUUCAAAAACUCAAGGCGGGACUUAUAUAGGUCCAAAACGUGGAUCUAAUUCGAGACCUGACCGUGUUCUAAUACUAUCUUAAAUAAUGUAAAAUAAUUGUUUAUCUCUGAAAACUUAGCCUUUGGAAGGAUAAUAUUUUUAAUAUCAUAUAUUCCACACACCAAUUAUGCCUCCUCGAUCUCCAGUUGCAGUGCGUAGGAGAGUAUAAGGUUGCUUUGGUUGUACUUGAUGAUCAUGUUCAUCCUCAUUAAUUAAUUUUAUGGCUAAUGUGAUCAAAAGUAGUAAAAUAAUAAUAAUAAUAAUAAAGAAUGCGUAGGUACGAAAAAAAUGCUCUCUCGCAACAAACUAGGGGUCUUUAAUUAAUUGCAAGCGCAUUGAUAUGGUCAAACAAUUUUUGGUAUCACUAACAUUUGAUUGGUUCUCUUCUUUUAACGAGCAAGAUAAAGGUUAACUAAGGCAUUAUUUUAAUCCGGAUUCGGCGAUUAGGGCUUAUAAUUAAAUGAACAGCGAUAACGUUAUAAAUUGUCGAUUCGUCAACGGCGCCGACUUGUUCAGAGACGAAGAGAAAACUACUGCGCAUGUCGGAGUUGAGCCCGAGCAUGCAGGAUCGUGUUGGUCGGCACCGUGCAUGCCUCUUAUCCUUAGCCCAUAAUAUAUUUAUUUAUAUAUAUAUAUAUAUAUAUUACGACAUCAGAAGACUCGUUCUAAACACCGUCAAGGUACGUAAUAGCUUGCUUAGUUUAGGCUGUGGUAAAGAUAAAUAUGGCAUUACAAGCAUGCACUAAUAAAAUGCAACAUAUGGAAAAGCUCUAAGUCCUAGGUCUUACUUUUUUAAAAAACUUUUUCCAUAUUGUACUUGUUCUGAGGUAUAAAUAUAACUCAAAGUAUAAACAUUUUAUAUGAAAUGAGAUGUACGAUUUAUAUGGAGGCGACUAAAUUACGCCUCAUUUGGGGUGGCAGCGUGCAUGUUGCGUGUAGCAUGAAAACACAAUUAAAAAAGUAUUAAUCUAUUUAUUAUAAUAAGUGAUAAUAUGUUAUGCAUGCGCAGUUUGCAAUAGUUCACUUAAAAUAUAAUUUUUAUGAUCCUACAUGAAAUUUUAAAAAAAAUUGUAUAUUUAACGAUUGCAGUUCUAAUUUAUUUUUUCCCAACAUUAAUAUUUGACAGCUGACUCUUCUAAGUUGCAAUUUACCAACACAAUUUUCACUCGCGUGAAACGGUACUUCAAAUUUGCUAAUAUAUCAGCAUAUACAUGUAAAAAAUGCAACUUAUUUAUGUACUCGACUCGAGUGUAUCAGCGUACGCCUGAGGCAAGCUUCAACUGAGCUAAACAUUACUUAAAUUUUGCUGAUAUACCGGCAUACACAAGUAAAAAAUGCGACUUGUUUAUAUGCUCAACUCAAGCGUACCAGCAACACCUUAGACGACCAGUACUUAAAAUUCGUGAUAUACCAGCAUAGACAUUUAAAAAAUGCGACUUAUUUAUGUACUCGACUACAAUGUAUCAGUAACACCUAAGGUAACAUUCGCUCGAGCUAAACAGUAAAGGCAACUUACACGCAUGCUUGACUCAAACGUAUAAGCUACACCUGAGACAAACUUCACACGAGCUAAAUAAUACUUAAAACCAGCUGAUAUGCUAGUAUACGCAUAUAAAAAAUGUGACCUAUUUGGGUUCUCGACUCAAACGUAUCAGCGACACCUGAGGUAAUCUUCACCUGAACUAAACAGUACAUAAAAUCCGUUGAUCAUAUAUCGCAUAUGCAUAUAACUAUGUCACUUAUUUGCGUGCUCGACUCAAACAUAUCAACGGCACCUGACGAAAACCAAAGGGACCUGCGCCCAUCAUAUGGCAUAUAGCAAUGCUUCAAAACGCAUACAACUGGAAAAAUAAAAAUAAAAAAAAUCAAGAAUCAAUCCUUGUGAAAGAAAUAAAAAUAAAAACAAGAAUAAUUUCGUUAACUUGUGGAGUUCUCCUCAACAUGUCGGGGUGAAGUGUGGGAUGGAGUUUGACUUUUUUGAUUAUUUCUGGGACUUUUUAGGAGUUGACCUCUUUUUUAAUAUUUAUAUAAACAUAUGUACUAAGUAUGUACAUCUGAUUCCGUAUUCAUGCAUGGUUUUGUAUAUCUCUUUUGAUACGUCAUAAGUAAAAUGUCAACUCGAGGCGUGCGCACAAUCCAAUAUAGCUGUGGCAUUGAAUUUUCCUUUUUUUUGUUUUUUUUGUUUUUUUUGAAGUAAGUGGUGAGGUGGAGAUUAGGGUGUACGGUAGCUUUUUUGCGUAUACAAUUCCUUAAAAUUAAAUAGAGAGUUUAAACUUUACUCUUGCUAUUUUUUUUACUUUUUAUUUAUGAUAAAGAAUACUUAAGUAAGGAUCCAUAUAUAAGUCUCAUUUUUAUGAAAUUAUAUUUACCGGUUUACGUUAUAUAUAACUUGGAGUUUAGUGUAUGCAGUUAAUUUCGAAACAUGGUUAUGGUAGAUUUUUAGAAUGUUCUCCCUAAUUAAAGUGUUUAAACUUCGUUUUCUUACUCCAUUUACAUAUGUUAUGACAUAAAAAAAGAAAUACAUUAAUUGUUUGCUUUCAAAAAAAGGAAGAUGAAACAUUAUAUUAUAUGGCGUUUUUUGGUGCAUGCAUGCGGUACAUAUCAAUUUGGUGAACACCAUUCAAGCAGUACAAUCAAUGGUAAAGUGAUUUUAAACUUUGUUCUCUGGCUCCAUCAUGUUUCUGAUCUAUGAGAAAUGUAUUUACAUGAUUAUACAUAUAUAUAAUUCUCAUUUUUACUAAAAAGAAUAAACAAUAUAUAUACUUGAUUCGAAAAAACAAAAAUAGUGCUCAUCAUUUGGUGAACUAUUUUAUCAAUCAAGCAGUGCAAUUGAUGAUAAAGUGAUUUUAAAUUUCGUUCUCUGGCUUCUUCAAUGUUUCUGGCAAACAUUGAAAUGCUUUUGCAUGAGGAUAUAAAAACCUCAAUUUUAUUAAAAAAAAAAAAUUAUUGGAAAAUAAAAAGAAAUAUAAUGCUUGUUUUCAGAACAAGAGUGAAAAAAAUAAUAACAUUGUUUUUUUUUAUUUUGCGGCGUAUAUAAUUUGCAUUUGGUGAAAUAGUACAUUAAUUCGAGGAAAGCAAUUCAUGGUAAAGCAAUUUCAGGAGAAUUUCAUGCUAUGCCUACAUGCAAAGCAUAUCUCCUUGACUUGCAUUGAUGAGCUGUAAAUGAACUCGAUCUAGAUGAUUAGUUUUUUUUAUAGAUAUAUAUAUGCCACAAAUUUCAUUCUCAAAUAGGCUGUUAAUUUCACUUGACUUUUAAAUGUUCACAGAUGUACAUGUACAAUUUUCAUUUGUGAUAGAUUUUUAAUAUACGUGCAUAUCGUGCACAUCUGAAAAGGAAUUAUAUUGCAUAAUUUCGAUUCAAAGAGUUGAAUAUUGAUCACGGAAUUCAUUUUCAUGUAUGCAUGCAAGACACGCCUGAAAUAAAAAUAAUUAAUUUUGAUGUAGUUUCAACGGAGUUGAAUUUCAAUGUUCAUGGUUUUUGUUUUGAUAGAUGCAUGAAACUACGCUUCAAAAUGCAAUUAAUGAUGUUACUAUGAUAGAGGUAUUAAUCAUGCAUGGUAUGUACAGAUUUUAUAAAAAAUUGUAUUACUAAUACAAUUUUUAUAUGACAAUAUGAACUUAAUCUUUAGAAUUAAUAGCUUAAUUCCAUUUGUUUUGUUUUGAUCAUGAAGCUGAUUUACGUACGGUGCAUGUAUACAGUGGCAUUUUCCGGGCCGGGCCUUCGAGAGCCUAGUCCAAGCCCGCCCAUUAAGUUCCGGCAAUCCACCCCAUGAUCAGGUUGAUUAAGACUAAUAACAUGUUAACUCAUCAUUUCAUGUGGUAUUUGAAAAGCACGAUAAGGGCUUGUUUGGUUCAAGGGUGGAAUUGGAAUGGAUAAUGGAAUGGGAAUGAAUUGGAAUGGUAAUUGGAAUGACCCACUCCCUCAAAACGUUUGGUUUAUUUGUGGAUUGGAAAUUGGAAUCAGUUAUUCACAUUUCAUUGUUUGGUUCGUAUAAAUUAAAAAAAUUAUAUGAUACUAUAAUACUAAUUUUACUCUCAAAUAUAAAUUUAUAUUAUUUAAAAUUUAUGAAAAAUAUAAUACUAUUCUCUAAUAAGUUUUUCAAAAAAAAUAUCAAAUUUAUUUUUAAAAACUUUUAUUGAUGUGGGUUAGGGAUANAUUUAAAAUUUAUGAAAAAUAUAAUACUAUUCUCUAAUAAGUUUUUCAAAAAAAAUAUCAAAUUUAUUUUUAAAAACUUUUAUUGAUGUGGGUUAGGGAUAGGGUUUUGAGAGAGGAUAGAGUUUUUUUUUUUUUGAUGAGAAAGGGGUGGAGAGAAGGAGGGUGAGAUGGUCACAUGGACUUCGAGAACUUAGUGGGCUUCCGGAAUGAAAUCUCAAUCCGAGCUAGAAGACCGGAAUCAAGUUGAAGGCUAAUGGGUCAUUCCCAUUCCAGUCCGGAAUAGAAAUCUCAAACCGAUUUAUGCGAUCCAAACAAACUUAACCGGAUUUGAUCAAACCGAUUUCCAUUCCAUAUCCAAAAUGGAUGAACCAAACAAGCCCUAAGAGUAUAGUUGCUAACGAGCCAAAUAUAAGCGUACUAGGACCGGCUCGUAUUUGCUUGCUUAUUAAACGAGCCGAAUACGAGCUGAUUCGUUAGAAUAUCAAGCUGAAAAAUUCAAUUCAUAUUCAACUUGUUUAUUAACGAGCCAAACACAAGCGAGCUCGCGAAUAAUAAGUUAGAUUGUCAGCUCUAUUAUUGAGUGAAAAGUUGCAAGAAAAUUAGAAUCUUAACCUAAAGACUAAAAUUUACAAAAUACAAGUUUCUUUACAUUUGGGUUGGCCUAAAAUUCAAAUAGUAGAAAUUUGUAUUAUAUACAUUUGAGAUAUAUCGAGUCAAACACGAGCAAGUUGACACCAGCUCGUAUUCGAAACGUUAAAUAUGCUGACUUCAGGCAUCUGACCAAACACGCUGCCGCUAGACUCUCUUGGGUUGAUUUCCAUCAUGAUUAACAAAUGACAUGGGCUUUAUCCGGCCCAAAUUCAUAUUCCCUGGGUUGGCAACGUUGGUCCAAUAUUUGGGACAAAUAUAUAUAUGUUUUUUUUUUUUUCUUAGAGAUAGGUAGCAUGUUAUCCGUUUCGUUUAUUUUAUUUAAAAAUAAACUUAGCUAAAAAUGUAAAUCAACUAGUAUUCGAAUUUGAAACCUCGGGUACCAACCACCAAACCCUUUACCACUUGCGUUAGGUAUGAUCGGUCACAAAUAUAUAUGUUAUAGACCCAACUUUAUUAAGAUAAUGGGCGAAAAGAGUUGCAUGGAAAGUAUUAUGUUCAGAUAUCAGAAUCCAAUUAUUACAACACCUUUAUAAAAAUAAGGGAAAACUUCAAAAACCCUCCAUGUAGUUUCGUAGUUUCUCACUUUGCUCCCUUGUGGUUUAAAAUGUAUCAAAUUGCCCUCCUGUGGUUUCGUUUUUAUCUUUUUGGUAGCUUUUUCGUUAAUAUUUCAUUAAAUUAUAUACAAAAAACUUCAGAUGCCAAUCUAGAUUUAUCAAAUAUUCACUUUAGUAUCCUUUAAAUUAAUUUUAUCACUGAUUUAAAAAAAAAAAAAUAAUGAAAUUGAUAAGAAAAAGAGAAAAAAGAAACCACAGGGGAGCAAAUUGAUACAUUUUAAGUCACUGGGGGGCAAAGUGAGAAACUACGAAACCAUAUGGAGGGUUUUUAAAGUUUUUCCUAACAAUAAUUUUUUUAAAAAAAUUUUACACUUUCUCAAAACACAAUUCUUUCUAUAAUUCCAAAUAAAGAUUUACCCAUUAUUGGGUUUUCUUUUUUUGACCUUUUGGUUUGACACCCAUGGACCAUCCUAACCGUAGGUCAACAACCUAAUAUCCUAUCAAGCAGAAAAUAAAAUUAUGGAGAUGUUUGGCCUAGAUUCUCAAAAAUAAUUUUAAAGUCAAAAGUUAUUUUUCUUUUAAUAGAGAGUUUGGUAAUCUGUUUUUUAAAUUUUGAUUCUAAUUUUUAAAAUCAGUUUUCUAAUUUUAGAGUCUCAAAAUUAGAAGCAGCUAAUACCUACUUUUUGAAAUCUGAUCCUGAUUUUAGACUCAAAGUUUAAAUUUAAUUCUAAAUUUCAUAUUCAAAUUUUAAAUUUAGAUUUAAAUUUUUAAUUUUUAAAUUUUUAAAUUUUGAAUUUUAAAUGCAAAAUUUAAAUUUAAUAAAAAAAUUAAAAUUCUGAUUCAAUUUUUGAAUUCAGAAUUUUAACUUUUUAAAGUCAAAUUCAAAAUUUAAAUUAAAAUUUUAAAAUUAAAUUUAAUUAAAAAAUUAUUAUUUGUAAAUAGCAAAAAAAUUUUGCCAAACAAUUUUAUAAAGUCACUCUAGAAAAAUCGUUUUUUUGAUAGACUCGUCCAAAUGCUCGACAGCUUUUAAUCAAAAUUAAUAUUUCAAAUCAAAAUUAAUUAUGUAAAAAUUAGUUUUUCAGAAUUAGGCCAAAUAACUCAUGAAACACAGAACUUAUUGUUCCGAAAAAUAGAUACUUGCAAACUGUUCUAAAUAAUGAUGGUCACAAGCUGAGGGCGGCAAUCCAGCUCGCUGUUCGUGAGCCAGCUCGUAUUUGAUUUGAAAUCAGCUCGAGAUCUAAUCGUUCGUUUAAUAAGCGAGCCGAACACGAGCUGUAGUCAGCUGGCUCAUGUUCAGCUCAAUAACAGCUUGAAUACAUAUAUUUUAUAUUAUCUAAUUUUAUAUAUUUUAUAUUUAUAUAUAAAGUUAAAUUAUAUAAAACAUCUAUGUCAAAACCCGAUUUUAAACACUUUGCCACAAUAUAAAAUAAAAAAUAGUCACAUGAAGGUACGGUGUAAACUGAAAUGACAAAAUGAUCAUUUUGCCUCUCACCAUUUUUGGCAACGGGAGAAAAGCCCGAGGGUAUUUUUGGCAUUAAAAAAUAUAUAAUAAUAUUUUAUAAACGGAAUCCUAACGGAUUACUAAUGGCUGGGAGUGAAGUGAAUAUUUUUUAUUUUACAAGGGGACAAAAUGAUAGGGGGCGAAAGUGAAAAAUCGGGUUUUGACAGGAAAUUGUUUUGUAAUUAGCCGUUAAUUUUUAGUCCAAUCUAAAUAUAAAGCCCAACUCAAUUAUAAAAAAGCUCAUUGAUUUGGAAAGUUUCAACUAGUAGAUUAAAAUCUAAUGAGUAAGAUCUCAUAAAUUUAUUUUUUAUAUAUAUUCUUUUUGUUUAACUUAUUGUUCGUGAGCUAGUUCAUGUUCAGCUUGUUAAUAAACAAGCUGACCACGAGUCAAACUUUUUGCCUCGAUACUUUAGGGCUUGUUUGUUUCAACGUAAAUAGACUUGGAGUGGAAGUGGACUUUGAGUUGAAAUGGAGUUGGGAUGAAAAUUAGUUCACUUCUGCUGUUUGUUUCUAACUGUAGAAGUACAGUUCUGCGAGUUCUGUUGUUUGUUUGGUAGGAAGUAGAUGACGUAAAAAGUAUAGCUCUCCACUCCCGGUAUACUUACAUCCAAAGUGAUAUCAUUAUCUAUUUUGUAACUUAUAGUGAAUAAUAAAUUAUAAUAAAUAAAAAUUAAUAUAAUUAUUUAUGUAUAUAAUUAUAUAUAUAUAAUUAUAAAAAAAAAUUUAAAAAAAUUAUAUUAUUUGUUUGCAUAUAAAUUAUGAUAAUGCAACAAAUAAAAUUCUAAAGUUAAAAAAUUAUUAACAUUUAACAAAUUUAUUUUUCAUCAUUUUCUAAAUAUACAAAUUAAAUAAAAAAUAUAUUAAAGCUUACCUAAUCAAAUUUGAUCAUAUUUUAGAAGAGGUAAUUCUAACACAUUAAUCCAUUCUUAUUUUUUUUUCACUUCACCGGAAUUGAUUUCGCCCAUGGGAGGGCGAAGUCAAAUUCAUUAUUUUACGUGAACUGAACUUUCGGGCGUAAUAAAAUUACGGUAAAUCAAACAGCGGAAGUGGUUAGUUUUCACCGAAAUUCAUUUUCCCCGUCCCACUUCCACCCCACUUCUCUCGAAACAAACAGGCCCCUUAAUGAACUAACUUGUGUUCGGCUCGUAAACGAAACGAGUCCAACACAAGUCGGCCCAGCUCUCUCGUAUCCGGCUCGUUAACAACCCUAUCACAAGCUGAAAUGGAUUACUUGGGUGAUAUCAAACUACAAAUAGGUUGGAAAGUGGAAGUCACGAAUUUCCAAACCAGACCAGAAUAUGAGUGGACGCAAGCUCAGCCCAAUUGCUAACCUCUAAAAGUGGUUGAAAUUUGAACCUAAUUUCAUUGCUCAUUUGUUUAAUAUUGACUAAUCUUAGGAUUUGUUCUAGCUUGAGUAAAACGGCCAUAGCGUCCAAGGAAAAAUAAAAAAAUGUUAACUUGUUAAGGCUCAUUUGGUAUUAAAGCCUAUUUAAUACUAAUAAAAAAAUUUGAUUGCUUAUUUAUUUUUAAAUAAAAUUAAAAAAUAUAUCGUAACUAUAUUUUUUUAUUAAAUACCAAAACAAAUAGAAUAUUUUUUCAAAUAUUAGCCAAGUCCUUCAAUUAUUGCUUGGACAUUUACAAUAUUUAAUCACUCGUGUUCAAAUCAACUGAUUAUUAGUUACCAAUAGGUGUGAUAGAGAUAUUUAAUUAAUCCUAUAUUUGAUAGAUUCGUUUGGAAAGAAAUAAAUUAUUUUGCAUAUAUAAUAUAUUAUUACAUGUUUUUUUUUUAAAAAAAUUCUAUAGAAAAGUGUAAUCAAACGACUAGAUGCCAUAAUGAUAAUAAAAAGAAUUGGCCAUGUCUUGUCCUUUAUAUAUGCAAAAUAAUUUAAUAUGAUCAAAAUAUUUGAAACUUUUAAAAAGCAUAUUUUGUAGUAUUUCAAAAUUAUAAUAUAAUCUAUCGAAUCAGUAUAAAAUAAACCGUCUAAAUCAAACGGCAUUUCUAAAAUAGGGUGUCUAAUUUUUAAAUUUAAAAUCAGAGUUAUUGAUUUUAUCUAAAUAGUGAAUAUAAUUUUUUAUUAAAAAUUCAAUCAAUUUAAAUUUUCUUACACCAUUAAACUAGUAAGUAUCCACAGUAAAAGUUAAAAAUUGUCAACUUUAAAAUCUUUUAGAUCAUAAGGUAAAUAAUAUCAAAAAAUAUAAAAUUUUAUUUUAAAAAAAAUUUAAAUACUCUAAAUUAUAUUUAACGAUAUAAAUUAUCAAUUUGAAAGAUUUACAUAAAAAAUAUUAUGAGUACGAAGGGAUCGUACUUAUAAGAGUAUAGUAGUUGGACUCUCUCCUCUCGAUCUCUCUCUAUAUAUAUAAUAUAUAUAGAAUCAUACUACUAUACGAAGCGAUAGCCGUACCUGCAAACAAAUAGGAGCUAUAAAAGGAAAUACAACAAUAUAGUAGCUGAACAUAUAUAUAUAUAUAUAUAUAUAUAUAUAUAUAUAUAUAUAGAACUAUAUUAUAUAUUAAAAAAAUUAUUUUUUCACUCGCAAUCGCACAUCUACACCAUGUGCAGGACGUUUACUGCAGGGCUCCAAAUUGGCAGGAUCUUAUUUGUAUACAAAAAUUAAUAGGACAGUGAUGUAUGUAAGUAUGAAUCAUAAUAGGUUAAUUAGAUUAAUUAGGUUAUUAGAUUAGUUAAUUAGUAUAUUAAUGAUAAUAUAUUUUAUAUAGGGCCUAACAGUAGAUAGCAAUACAGUGUGAAUCAUAAUAGGCGGCGAGUAGUGGAAGAAAGGAUAAUAUUAUUUAUUUUUUAUUUGUAACUAUUCAUUAUUUUUUUAAUUUUAUUCUAUUUAUCUAAACGUUAUUUUUUUUAUUUUCGAUAAUAAUUUAAUUUUUUUCUUAAAUACUAAAUUGAUCGAUUCCAAAUUUAACCAUGAACUUAUAACUACCGAAAGUUUUGAAAAGUUGAUAGACAAUUCUCUUAAAAAAAUAAUAAAAUUAAUAUCUUACCGCUGAUUAAGAGAGAUCUUUCUCUCUCUGUCGCCCCCAAAUUCCCAGAUCCGGAAUCACACACUCUCAUUUGCAGAUCCAAGCCCUAGGCCCCUGCUCCAAUGGCGGAGUCGCCCUCGCCCCUCCCGAUUCCCAACGAGCACCACCACGGCACGGCGCUGCUCCGGGAGAUCGCGGUGGACUACUGCCCCGAGGCGUGCGACCACUCCCCGGCGGCGUCGGAGAUCCGCGUCGUCUUCGACCACCGCGGCGGCGCUCGGUGGCGCUCCCGCUCCCGCUUCCGCUUCGGCACGUUCGGCGCCCUCAUCCGCGGCCCCGGCGGCGACACGAGCGGCCUCAACUUCAACCUCUACCUCUCCUCCCUGGAGGGCGACAAGUCCCAGGACGAGAUCGACUUCGAGUUCCUCGGCAACGACCCCUCCGCCGUCCAGACCAACUUCUACACCGCCGGCCUCGGCCGCCGCGAGCGCAUCCACCCGCUCGGCUUCCACGCCGCCGACGGCUUCCACGAGUACCUCAUCAAGUGGGCGCCCCAUCUCAUCGAGUGGCUCGUCGACGGCGCCGUCCUCAGGAGGGAGGAGCGCAGCGCCGCGCACCAGCCCUGGCCCCUCAAGCCCAUGUUCCUCUACGCCUCCGUCUGGGACGCCAGCUACAUCGACGACGGCCGCUGGACCGGCAGCUACGUCGGCUCCGACGCGCCCUACGUCUGCCUCUACCGCGACGUCAGGGUUCCGAUCGACAACGCCGUGGCCGAGGAAGGCGAUGCCGCCGCCGAAGCAGCAGCAGCAGCAGCAGCAGAGGCCGAGAAACAAAAUGUAAGUUGAGAUCUCUCUACCUUCUCUUAUGUCUGAGUCGUAUUCCGGAGGAUUAAAUGCUUCUCUUUGUACAUCAACUUAUUUAAGGGACGAUUAUAGUAUCUUACCUACAUCAUCCCGUUCCUUUUUGUGAUGUUCGAAGAUAUAAUUCAUCAAAAAGUUGAUGUACAAGUAUUUAGAUGCUAUUUGUGUUUUUGAGUUGUUGUUGUUGUUGUUGUUGUUCUUGUUCUUGUUGUAUUGAAUUCUGGUUAGUGACAAUAAUGUGAUUGUUCUGUUGUUGGUUAUCUCACAAUUGCAAUAAGCAAAUUAUGGGCCAUGUUGUGUUCAAAUCUUAAUUCAUUACAACCUCUGGCUUGAUCUUUCUAAAUUUUUGACUAAAUAGUACCGUAGCCCGGAUAUGGGGCAAAAAUGUUGUGGUUGAUGCUGCGAAAAUGACUGAAGUGUUGUGGUGCCAUUGUCGGAUAGGAAUUUGAAUUAAAAAUUAUAAUAAAUUAAAGUUUGAGAAUCAAAGUGACGCCUGCUUUAUAAUGCGAGAAUCAAAAAUAUGAUUUAUCUGUAGAUGUCAGACAACUUUAAAUACCCGUUUUGUGGUUUACUGUAUUUUUAACUUAAUACUUUGUGGUUUUAACUAUAUUGUCUAAGUAACUUAUAGUUUUAUUUUUCGUUGUUUUCUCACGCCUUCGGUGAACUUCUUCGUUAAAACUGUCGCGUGCCAUGCCCGUGCCGCACUCUGCACAUGUAUGUCGUGAAUCGUCGGUUUUUUGCCUUUGUAAGACAUCUCCGACUUUGUGGGGCGGCACGUGACGAUUUUAACGAAAAAGUUAACGGAAGGCGUAACAGAAAAUAAAUAUAGAAAUCACAUGUACUUAAAUAAUGUAGUUAAAACUACAUAAUACAAAACUAAAAAGGUGGUAAAUCACAGGAGAUAUAUGAAGUUUUCCUUAGAUUUAUUAUUAGAUCUGUACACUUUCUCGCUCUUUAACACUCUACAUUAAAUUUCUCGAUUAGCACAACUAGACACUCUUCAUUAAAUUUCUCGAUUCGCACAAGUAGAAUUUCUUUUGUCACCCUUCGGGCCACAGCAAAAGUCCAUCUCGGCUAAAGUGCAUAGACCCGUUGCGUGUACAAGAUCACCCUCCCACACAUGAAACUUCAAUAUUCAACCAAGUUUAUUGCUAUUAUAUAAUGCAAUAUAAUAGAUGAAAUACAAAUUGAUUAGUACCAAGAACAUAAAUAAUACCAACUAACCAAAUUUAAAGUAUUGAAUAUUUAACAUCUAUGCAUCAUUGCCAAAAAUAGAUACAUCUCUAUUUCAUCCUCUCACAAGUUCGGUUCCCAAAAAGCUAACCCCAAGACCAAGGUUGGCCAGCAAGUUAGGUGCAUCCCGUUUCGCCCAACGAACUCUCCUCAAUAGUGCUCCGCCCUCACCGCUAGCCACAAGGAUAUCACAAAUUCUCCCCGAACUUAGUCCAAUACGAGUAUAGCCGAGCGUCUCAUCUCCCCCGCGUUUCGCUCCCACGACUCAACCCGCACGCCGCAAGAGUCAAGGUCCAGACUUCGCAAUAUCGCAUGCCACGAAGAAUACUCAUAAACAUAAAUCCUUAUUUGCCAUCUCGUCUCAUACACCUUGCAGCGUCCACGGUCAUACUGCAUACGCGGUCUGCUUGCUCGCUCCAACGGCAUACAUAUGACAAGCCACCCAAGUGCGUGCUGUAAGCCAGCAUGACUCCCAGGUUCAGCGACUUAACGGGACACCCCACAUGCCUAUGCUUUCAGCGACUUAACGGGACACCCCGCAUGCCUAUGCUUCGCACUUUUUGCUUCGCAUCCAACUCGUAUGAACCGCGUGCCCCAUCGCUCCUAGCGAAAAAAGCCAACAAGCCCACACUGUGCUCUCGACCGCCCACAUGAUCCUCACUUUAUGGUGGUGCUCCGCGCCCUUGAUUUCCAUAGGUUCACAUUAUAAGGCUCCAUGCCAACAAGUCAAGCCUUGCUCCGCAUCGCUAGUCACCUGGCCUCUCCAUGGCUCAGCCAUGCCUGGUCGCUACCACCAUUGGUCUAGACUUCAAAGGUUUACUUUACGGAUGCAGAUACUGCUUGCUUGAUUAGGUUCCGCCUCUCGAGUCUUGUGAGCGCUACGCCCACAAAUCUGUCUUAAUAUAUCUCUAGAUUUGAUAUUAGAUAUUUUCUCUUUCUUGCUCUUUUCCACUUUUCAUUAAAUUUCUGGGUUAGCACAAGCAGAACUUAUCACUCAGGCCAUGUUUGGAUGCUUAGAUAAAAACUUUAUGGAAUUUUUAUUCUAUAGUUUUGGUCUACAUAAAAUACGAAAUUUUGUAACUCCAAAAUUACAGAAUUAGGGUUUAAUCUAUGUUAGAUGUUACUAAAAUUUGAUAAUCGACUUCAGUUCGGAACUUUGACUCGCUGACAGUUUCGCGGUGCGACCAAUUUGAAAAAUAAGUUGUGAAAAAAAAAUAAAUGUCUGUGGUGGAUAGCGGAGGGCUUGGGCUGGUACAGAUCGGAUCAGAUCCGAAACCCAUUAAAAAUUUUUCUUUCUCGUUUUUUAUCACAAAGGCGACAGAUCGUGGUUGGUUGUACUCGAACAUUAUAUUCCCUUUUCGAUAGUGAAGUUUUCUCCUCCCUCGUCCGUGAUUUUUUCCUGCAAAGAAUUUUUCACGUAAAUCUGUGUGUUUUUCUAUUUCUGUUUCUGAUUUGUUUAUUUUGUAUUCGUCAUUUUCGUUUCUGUUUGUGCGUUUGUCGUAACAAUCUAUGUAUUUUAAACUUACAAAAAAGGCAUUCAAAUAUUAUAUUGCAAAAUUUUACUUUAAAAUGCUAAAAGACUCAAAAAAAAAAAAUUCAAUACUCUUAAGAAAGUCCUGUGACUCUUUCCUGUUGGAACUACGGUCCUUUUAUUAAGGAGUUGAUUUGGAAGUGAUUUUAGAGGCUGUUUGGUUAUAUGUAGUUACAACUAUAUUAUAGUUGUAACUGUAUAUAGAUCUAAAUUUGAUAUUUGAUUUUAGAAUUAAUUUCAUACAUGUUCCUAUAAAUAUAGUGAAUUAUAAAUAUAUUCCUACAAAAUUCAACUUUUAUAUGUUGUCCACUUGUCCCUACAAAACUCCUAAUAUUUUCAAAUAUGACCCUUUGGUUUGUUACCGUUAAAGCAUUGGUUAUUUUAUAAGUGAAAUAAUUUUUUUUGCCAUCACAAGUAUGUCCCUCCAAAAAUUCCAACCCUUAAUUAAAAAAGGAUAAAAAUGUCAAUUUACCUCAUUAACUAACUAAGGUCAAGUAUUUUACCUAUGGUUAAUUAUUUUUUUCUAACGGAGAGGCAUAUUUGAAAACAUUAGGACUUUCACAAAACAACAUAUGAAAAUUAAACUUAAUAUAAAUAUAUUUGUAAUUCACUAUAUUUACAAAGAUCUGUAUGCAAUUAAUCCUUAAUUUUAUAUAUUUGAAAUCUAACCAAUCAAAUUUCAAGAAGCCUCAUAAAGUGCUUUCUUAGGAGUUUUUUUUUUUUUUUUUUUUUUGAGAGAGAUAGGUAGCACGCUACUCGCUUCGUUUAUUUCAUUUAGAAAUACACUUAGCUUGAAAUGUGCUUCUUAGGAGUUAAACUUCUAUUUAUCCAUAUUUCUUGGUUGCGCGAGCCGAAUCGGGAGCAAGAGUUGAAGCUGGCGCGGGAACAGUAGGAGCUCCAACUCGCCGAAUAAGCUACCACAAUACCUAUCCUGCUCUUUGGAAAAAUCGAACACAUGAUGUUCCCUUCGAUCUAUUUCUUGAUUUCCCCAUGAAUUGUAUGCUUAUGACAAUAGCAACAUUUUAAAGGUUGGUAUUUUAUGUCCAAUAUCUCGAUCUAAGUAUGGAUGUCGGUAUGGUUGGAAUUGUAUGAGAAAGUUUAAUUGUAACAAUUGAAAUUACGCCUAAAUUGAUUGUAAUUUCAACUGCGGCAGUAGGAAAAGUAAUUUUAAAUAAAAAAUAAGCUUUUGGCCGCAUAUAUACUAUAAUAUAAUUAUUAUUUUUCAAUUGAAUAUGAUCAUACUCAAUAAAAUUAUUUUGUUUACAUCAAAUUAUAUUUGUUUAUAGCAAUAUCACUUUCAGACGCAAAUGGAUUGUCAUUUUCUCCAUUGGUUUAUUGUAGACACACUGAAUUAUUAUUCACUGAUAACCCAGACCAUAUACCUAUCAACUAAUAUUAUUAUUCCAAGAUAAAGGUGUAAAAUGAACCAAAUGAGUAUCUUUCUAUCUUUCUCUAUCUUUGAAAAGAAAAUAUCACCGAUGAUAAUUCAUAAGAACUUAAUAUGCAUGCACGUGAAAGAAAAGUACAAUUUAAGAUUAAGCAGUAUAAUUUAUUUGAAGGGUUAAUUGUAUACAGCUCCCUAUAAAUAUGUCGAAUCGUAAAUAUAUCUCUACAAAAUUUAACUUUUUAUAUUUAUUUCUGUGUAAAUCCUAAUAUUUUUAAAUAUAUCUCCAUUGUUAUGAUCCGUUAGAAAAAUAUGCUUAAUCAGAAGCAAAGUAUUUAAUCAUGAUUAGUGAAUAAGAUAAAUUGAUUUUUUUAUUCCUCUUAUAUAUUUGUGAUGGUGGAAAAAAAAAGAUAAUUGUUGAAAAUUUUUGGAAAGGUAUUUCUGCAUAUUUCUAAUAGUUGGAAUUUUUGUAGAGACGUAUUUGUGAUGGCAUAUCAUUUCACUUAUUUUCUGUUAAAACAUAAAUAAUACUCUAACUGUAACAGAUCAAAGACACAAAUAUGAAUAUCACUGAAUUUUUACAAUAAUAUAUAUAAAAAUUGAACUUUAUAAAAAUAUAUUUACUAUUUGAUAUAUUUACAAGGAGCUGUUUGAAAUUAAUCCUUUGAAAUAGAAUUUUUUGGACGGAACUUAAGAUCUCUCCUCUUGAAGAACAGCAACACCAAGUAUAUGACAAGAUCAAAUCAUCUAACGAAAAUAACUAGCAGUUUAUAGUUUAAAUUGUCUACAACUCCGUGCGUAAAAUUUUUUGGGUACCGAACAAUUUUGCCUCUCAUCUGUGACUAAAUCUGUAAUGAAAUUACCUUUGGAAAAUUUCUGCGCAUGGAAUUGUAAAAGAUAUUCUUUCAAAAUUUGUACUAAAUUAUUGUACUACAGCAGGUUGUGUGAUUAUGAUUGGAGAGAUCUGUUUAUGGAUUCCUUGGAAAAGAAAGGACACUAUCCUACUCCCAUAUGCAAGAGAGCUGAUAGGUUGGAGAUGCCCACCCCACUACUCCUUUUUGCUUGGUGAUGUCAUAAAAGGAGACCUCCCCCAAUCAAAGAAAGAAGUUGGUGGUGCAAAAAUAUACCUACUUCCUUUAUCCCUUAGUACAAAUUUAGGUUUUAAAUUUAAGGUGUGAGUUAUCAAUUAUCAUAUUUUUAGCCUACUGCGUUAGAUAUAGCCGGUCUGAUUUUGAUAUCGUAAGAAAAUUUUGAUUGAAGUUUAUCAAUUUUACUAACUAAAUUUAGUAAAUUUGAUUUAUUUCUAAUAAUGAUGGCUCUAGUACUAUAAUAUUUCUUUCACGCCAAAGAAGCCGCUUCUAUUGAUAAUUGAUAUGGUUGUAUUGAUAUGGAGUAGUUCUAAAGCAUUAUUCAAAUCAUUGCCUUUAUAGAUUGCUAAUAUGCUGGUAUUUUUGAAGUUUGAAAUCGUACAUAAAUUAGCUGGUAGUCUUAUUUAUGUAAUACAGAUCAACUUAUCAUAUGUUGUAUAGGUUUGAAUAGAGGUACCUAGAACAUUUUCUAUUAGGUUGAUUUCAUGGAUGUGCUUGUGGAAAGUAUUCUUUGUGAUAAAUAUAUUCUAUCUAUUGUUUUUUAUAUUAAGUUUUUGCAUUGAACAUUUUCUAUUGGUUUUUAUGUAUGUCAUUGAGAAACAAUUCAAAGAAAAAUGCAGAAUAUAUAUAUUGGCUUAAAUGGACUAGCAUCCUGUCCUGUGACGGGAGGUCAUAUUGGACCGAGUCAUGUUCAAAAUGACGCGAGGCUGUGUGAAUCGAGUCAUGUUCGAAGUGACGUUAGGCUGAUUGAGCCGAGUCAUAAUCGAGAUCCGUGAGCGCUGUAUCUGUACGCUUUAAGGGGCCGUUUGGUUGGAUGUAGUUGCAGAAACAGUGUAGUUGAAAAUACAUGCAGUUGCAAAUGCUGCAGUUAUAACUACACCUAGUUUGUUUGGUUUUACGCAGUUGCAACUGCUGCAGUUACAUUUCUUCUGUUUGGUAAUAUGAAGCUGAUAGUUGUAUUUAUGAAUUUUGUCACCUCUUCAGAUAGAGUGGUGAGGUUACCUUCACUAAACAUAAAAUAAUUGUAUAAAUUUAUUAAUUAUUUAAAUUUACUAUUUAUAAAUAAAUAAGUAGAUAUAUAUAAUAUUUUUAUAUUUUUCAAUAAUUCUUCAACUUAUUAAUCGACACAUUUAAAAUUUUUAAUUUAUUUAAUUUUAAUAUGUAAAUCAAACUUUAAAAAUUUAAACGAUUCUCUCAUUUUUUUUUUAUCAAAUUUAAUAAUUAUAAUUAAUUAAAACUUAUUAAAUUAACAUACACGAUCACAUUCUAUAAAAAUUUAGGGAAAAAAAACUAUAUUUAUAUUUUAAAUAAAAUAAAUUUAAAAAAAUUAAUUUUUUGCACAAAGCUUGUAUUGUCUAAAAAAUUUUAUUAGUAUGAGUUUAUUUAUAAGUAUUUUUAUUUACCUAUAUACAUAUAUUAUUUAUUUAUUUAGCUAUUUAUUUAUUUAUUUAUUAUUGUUAAUUUGUUGGUGAUCCUAUCCCUCACCAACUGCUGCAGUUGAAACUACGACCAAUUUGGAUGUAGUUCCAACUGCAGCAUUUGGGUCUUCUUGUGCAGUUGGAACUGCAGUAGUUGAACUCAAUUACACUAAACCAAACAAAAAAAUUGUGGCUGCACGCAUUUGCAACUGCACUACAGUUGCAAAUGCGUACAACCAAACAGCCCCUAAAUGAAUUGAUUACGUAUUUCUAAACUCGAGCUUUUGGGAUUAAUAAUUAGUGCCAAUGAUUCGACAAGUGGUAUCAGAGCCAGAGGUCACAGGUUCGAUUCCUAUGCUGGAGGGGGGAUUGUUGGCAUCCUAUCCUGUGGUGUGAGAAAAUUUAAAGAAGUAUAGCACUUAACUUGGCUCUUCUAGUAUUUAAUUUGUUGCUAUUUCUUGCACAUAUUGUACAUCCUGUCCUGUGGUGUUAGAUAACUACCAAUAUUCUCAUUUUAUUUAAAAAUAAUGAGAAGAAAAAAAUUAAUUAGUAAAUACUAAGCGACCUAUUUUAUAAAAUUAUCUAAUUUGAAGAAAAAAAAUAUUACUCAUUUUCACUAUUUCUAACUAUAUAAGGCUAUAUAUACCAAUGCAACUUAUGCAUAACAUAUUGAUGAAAUAGUAAAAAAGCUGGAUUAAGUGAUAUAACUUUAAAUCUUUAGAAGGCAAAAUAAAAUUUUUUAAAAGAUUAAGAGAUAAGAUAAAAAAAGGAAUAUUUAUGUUUAAAUUUUUCAGCAUUUUUGCCGUAAAAAAGUAGUGGUAAAAACGCCCACAAUUUAUCUUAAUUGUGGACUAUUUUAAGUUCACUAUCCAACCUUUGAAUUUUUUUUAUUUGAAUUAAUUAUUCAAUUGCAUUUUUAUUCUAAAAUUUGAACGCAUCGAUCAUUUAUCUCUACAGAUUAUUUAAUAUACUAUAUGUAAUUCUUGUAAUUAUAAACUAAUUAAAAUAAAAAUUAGCUUAAAUUUUAAAGUUAAAAUAUUAUUAUUGAGAAUUAAAAAUUAAAUAAAAAUUAAAAAAGAAGUUGAACUCUUUUGUUUUUUAAACCAAAAUUCUUAUAUUAAUUGGAUACGCCAAAAUAAAUUAUUGAUGAUUCGAUGUGAUUUGCUGCACCUCUACAAUGUUAACACCCCGACCGUGAAUCACGUGGUUUGAUGUACUCGACACACCAAUCAAUUUUUCUGAGUUAAUAAUAAAUAAUAAAUUUCCACUAACGUUAUGAACGAGUAGUUGGCUAUUCUUUUUUUAAAAAAAGUGGGUGGCCAAUUUUUGUACCAUUAUUUUUUAGGUUAGUUGCGUAAUUAAGCUAAAAGAUAUUAAUUUUUUUUAGCUUAAUGCUAAGAGGUUCUAUUGUCUUUUAAUUCUUUUAUUAAUUUUUUGGAAUAUCUCUUUAUGUUAUUAUUAUUAUUAGGGAAAACUUCAAAAACCCCCCUGUGGUUUCACACUUUUUCAUUUUAGUACCCUGUGGUUUGAAGUGUAUCAAGUUAGUACCCUGUGGUUUCUCACUUUAUCACUUUAGUACCCUGUGGUUUAAAAUGUAUCAAGCUAAUACCCUGUGGUUUUGCACUUUAUCACUUUAGUACCCUGUGGUUUCACACUUUAUCACUUUAGUACCUUGUGAUUUAAAAAACUAUAGGGUACUAACUUGAUACAAAAUUAAAACCACAGGGUACUAAAGUGAUAAAGUGCAAAACCACAAGGUACUAACUUGAUACACUUUAAACCACAGGGUACUUAAGUGAUAAAGUGAGAAACCACGGGUACUAACUUGAUACAUUUUAAACCACAGGGUAUUAAAAUGAAAAAAAUUGAAACCACAAAGGGGGUUUUUGAAGUUUUCCCUUAUUAUUAUUCUAAUGAAUCCUCUGUAUCAUUAUAAGCCAGUGUUUCUCCCAUUCUCUCACUACUUGCUCUUAAUUUAGUCCUCCUUAAUGCCCCUCUUCCAGCAAGAAGAAUCAACCUUUGGGAAUAUGGCUUAAUUUUGUGAAAGAUUCCCGGAUCUCUCGCAAAAAAUGAACAUUAUUGAGACACAUUAAUUUGGUUCCGGAUUCCUAUAAUCAUUGAUAUUGGCCCCAUCUAACAAUACUAGGUAGAAUAAAAUUAGAGCAGAUAAAUAUAGAAUAUAUUUAUAUAUUUUUCGAUGAAACCACGAAAAGUAUAUCAUUAGUUAUUUAUUAUGAUAUAUGAAACACAAUAUUACAAACCAAAAAUAAUCAAAAAAAAAAAAAAAAAUUUACCGUACUUUCUCACUCACCACACAUAGAUUACUUUUCUAUUGGUCUAUUUAGUAGCUAGGACUGUUGAUGCACCUCGAGUACUUCAAAUGCACGAUUUUUGUAAAAUUUUUUGAUUUGUGUAUAAUUCUUUCACAUUAUAAAUGUCAAUACGUCAACAACAGUAUUAUUAUUAUUUUUUUUUUUAAGUUCGGAGAGACACUGGAGCACAGCAGUCCGUACUCAUUCGACACCACUUGCACAUGUGCACAAAAUAAGCUCUAAGUCUGAUCUAUUAAUGUGCAAAUACAGCUUUAUGUAUGGCAAUUUCCAAAUUUCUGGGAGAAGAACAAACGGUCAAACUGAAUCCGCUGAAUCCAAACAGAGACGGGGUAAAUAAAGAGAAACAACAACAAGAACAAUGUCGCCAAAACAUUUCUUUUCCAAAACAUUUAUUUUCUUCUCUUUUUUUUUUUCCAGUAUAGAAAAGUUCAAAUCAUAAGUAUAAUAAUAUAUAAUGCGCGCGUCCUCUCGGAUAAACAUCAAUUGCCAUAAGUAGGAAACACUAACAUUCGAAAACAAUCAAGAGAAACUAGAGUACCGAGCUCUUGUAGGCAAUCGCACUUUGUAGAUAAAAAUAGGAAAAGAGCAAUACAAACCUGGGAUUACAGAGCACAAAUGAUAUUUGUACGAGAAAACAGCUCAGCUUGGAAACAGUCUGAACAUUUGAACGAGCGAGCGAGCGAGCGAGCGAGCUUAGGACCGAUGCUGCUGAUACCCCGCAUUACAGAGAGGGAGGGUCUUUCUUACGUACGUACGUACAGAGGAGGAGGAGGAGGAGGAGGAGGAGCAGAGCAAGUGAUGAUUAUUAUUUCUGUACAAAUUAAAACAGGGGAGGCAGGAGGAGGAGGAGGAGGAGGAGGAGGAGGAGGGAGUAAUUGUGUUGUGGUGUUGUGGAUCAAUGGAGGUCGUAGAUGUUGGGGUCGGCGGCGUAGGAACCGAGGAUGCGGACGAAGACGGAGAAGCGGGAGAUGUCGUCGAUGGCGUCGCGGACGUUGGGGUCGUGGGCGGAGCCCUCGCAGUCGACGUAGAGGACGUGGGGGAAGGCGCGGAGGGAGCCGCGGCCGCGCACGUCGAGGAUCAUGACGGGGGCGGCGCCCUCGGCGGGCGAGUUGAUCACCUCCAGCUUGGUCAGGUUGAUGUUGCGCCUGGAGAAGGCGGACAGCACCCUCAGCAGCACCACCAUCGACCCCCCGCGGUGGGCGAUCACCAUGCUCGUCUUCUUCUUCUUGCUGCUCUUGUUGUUGUUGUUGUUGUUGUUGUUGUUGCUCCCGUCGCAGCGGUGGUGAUCAUGAUCAUGGUGGUGGUCGUCUUUGGAGAGCAUGAGGAAGCGGGUGACGUUCCAGGACUCGUCCUGGAGGCCGUGGGCGAGGACGUCGAGGCCGUAGAGGAGGGCGGCGCGGGGGCUGGCGAUGGCGGCGGUGUCGAGGAGGCGGCGGGAGCGGAGCAUCUCGACGGCGCCGGCGGUGUCCUCGACGGGCUCGCGGCGGAGGCCGAGGAGGGAGAGGGCGCGGCCGCAGUGGGCGAGGGCCAUCGGGUGGCUGAUCACGCGCCGGAGCUCGGCGGGGCGCACCCCGGGCAUGGCCAGCAGGCAGUAAUGCACGAACAGGCUGAUCUCCCGCACGAUCCGCAGGUCGUGCCGGAGCAGCAGGUCGUAGUUCCGCAGCGCCGUCCCCUCCAUCGUGCUUUCCACCGGCACGAUCGCCCGGUCCGCCGCCCCCCGCUCCACCGCCGCGAUCGCGUCCGCGAACGCCCGGCACGGCACCGUCUCGCACUCCGGGAACGCCGUCUUCGCCGCGAACUCGCUGUACGCGCCCCGCGCCCCCUGGAACGCCACGCGCAGCCGCUCCAUCUGCGCCGCCUCCGCCGCCCACCCGUCGAUCCCCGGCGCUGACGCCGCCGCCGACCCGUUGAUCCCCGGCGCCGCCGCCGACCCAUUGAUCCCCGGCGCCGCCGCGGCCACCACCGCCGCCGCCAUGUGCGAGGCUUUGCGAGAUCUACCGGAGCCGAAGAGGAAGACCUGCCGCUGCUGGUGGUGCAGCUUCUUCUCCCCGUUCCACCCCGCUGCCGCCGCGGCGGUGGCGGUGGAGAAGGGAUUGGGGAGAGCGCACGCCAUGGCGAUGGCGAAUUUUGGGGGGAUUUUGGGGAGAAGAAGAAGAAGAAGAAGAAGAAGAAGAAGAAGAAGAAGGGGGAUGAUGGAGAGAAUGGUGGUUGCGUUUGGGCGACUUUGGGGAAUUGUUUAAUAAGGCGACUCCGCGGGUAUAAAGGACAAAGAAGAGGGGUUCGGAAGAUGAAAAGGUGCGGGGUUAUUAUUUUGACGAUUUUGCCCCUGACUGAAUUUUAUACUGCCACACUUGCACCACGUCAAUAAUAACAAGCCAAUCACAUUUCUUCAUUUCAAAUUAAAGUAUGAUAAAAAUAUUUUUUAUAAUUAUGAUUGGACAUAUAUUUUUAAAGAAGAUAUUUGAUUGGUGUUACGUUACGUCACUAAUAUAGCCGUUAUAUUCUAGAAUUUUUCGUGGAUUGGUGGGUGACUUGGCGCGGAAGCUUAUUACCGCUCAAUGAUGCAGCGGCUGCCGCUGCUGCUGAUAAGGGAUGGGCCGACGCCUGUGAUAAGCCCAUAAAUAAAGCAGGCUCGACCUAUAUUUUCAUUAGGGAUGCAAACGGAUCCGGGUUGGUGGAGCUCCCGUCCCGAUCCGCCCCGACGGGGAGAGUAAAUGGGAGAAAAUAAAUUGAUUCGGGGCAGAAAACGGGGCAAGUUUUACGAUCCGAGACGGAUUCGGGGCAGGAAACGGGAAAAUUUUUGACCCGCUCCGAAUCCGCCCCGAAUCCGUCCCGCCAUGAUCCGCCCCGAAUCCGCCCCAAAUAUCAUUUGCAUUUUUUAAAAAUAUUUCUAAAAAAUAAUAUAUUUACAAAAAAAGUUCAAAAUACAAAUAAGUUAUUACUCUCAUUUCUAAUGAAUUUGAAACAUUUGAAUUUUGUUUUGAAUUGUGAUUCAUAUUUUUAAUUUUUACCAUUAAUAUUGUUAAAUUAUAUAUAUAAUAUUAUUAAAAAUUAUUAUUUUAUAUUUUUUAAAAUAUUAAUAAUAUUAUAAUUUUAUAAAAAAUAUUAGUUGGCGGGGCGGAUUCGGGGCGCCGGCGGGAGGCGGGUUACGAGGCGGGGCGGAUUAUGGGAUGUAUUUUUUAACCCGUCACGGAUUCGGGGCGGGAGGCGGGGCGGAUUUUUGCUAGUCGGGGCGGGAGGCGGGGCGGGUCUCCCGC
This 47896-nucleotide long non-coding RNA is filed under the name Ananas comosus (pineapple). Its description in RNAcentral is "long non-coding RNA (ACOM_LNC013928)". The record is from RNAcentral. Lineage: Eukaryota; Viridiplantae; Streptophyta; Magnoliopsida; Poales; Bromeliaceae.